UAGGCAUAAAAUAUUUCAAGGGAUUAAUCUGAACCUCAGUACUAAUACCCAAAUGCUAUAACUUUCACAGUAUCAUCAACAACAACAAAAAUAAUAACAGUAAUAAUAAAAAUAAAAAUAAAAAAGAAGAAGAAGGAGGGUUUGAUCCAGCAUGGGACAAAAGCAAGAAUAAAAUUAUUAACUGUUAUAGCAUUUAAGAACUGUAAGAUGUUUCAUUUAUUUUGUUAAUAUGGCUCUCAACUAAUUUUUGUUUUCCUUUAAGUAGUUUGUCUUCCAAUUUUUGGCCUUCUAGUUUAAGAGCUUUCUUUUUGUUCAAAUUAAAGAAUGUAGCUGUGUCUUCAAAACAAAAAUCAAGUUCAAGUAUCCCCUUUUCUUUUAUUGGCAGAACAUCUUAGCAAGAUGCAUGGUGAAAUACUACUAUAAAAUAUAUGUAGACUCAAUGGUCAAUCAAUGUCUGGAUGGUUUCAUCUUUGGAACAUCAUGGAUAUUCCGAGAAAUUGAACAAGUACAAAGUCAUGGAUGAAAAUGCAUUAGUUGUUUCCUGUAUUUCAUUGAUCUUCAUUUACUUGGAUUACUUCCAAGCAGGUUUUUCCCAACAAAGACAAACAGGAGAAUGAGGCAAAUUAGCAAUGAAGUCAAUGCAUUGUUGAAGGGUAUCAUUGAGAAAAGAGAGAAGGCAAUGAAAGUUGGCGAAACUGCUAAUCAUGAUUUAUUAGGUCUACUAAUGGAAUCCAACUACAGAGAUAUGCAAGAAAAUGAUGAGAGGAAGAAUGUUGGAAUGAGCAUUAAAGAUGUCAUUGAGGAGUGUAAGCUAUUCUACCUUGCUGGCCAAGAGACUACCUCUGUUUUACUUCUGUGGACAAUGGUUCUAUUAAGCAAGCAUUCAAACUGGCAAACUCACGCAAGGGAAGAGGUUUUACGGGUUUUUGGUAAUAAAAAACCAGAUGGUGAUGGCUUAAAUCACCUCAAAAUUGUGAGUAACAAUCCAAUAUAUAUUCAAUUUAGUAACUCUUCUUGAAAAUAAUAUAUUACUCUUUUUUUUUCUUUUUUUUCAAUCUUGAGGCAAAAUAUGCUUAGUUUCUGUACCCUUUUUACUUUAAUUGAAGACUAUAUGCAGAUACUUGGUAUCCCCAAUGGAAUUUUUCUUUCCUUAUCUACGUGCACAAUGCAUCAGCACUGGCCAAUUGACUUUACUGAAGAAGGGGCGGACUAUUCUUUUCUUUGCGUGAAUUUUUUAUUUGCUUGUUAGGUUGUUUUGAGUGUGGUGAAAACUUUAUGCAAAUACUUAGUAUCAAUCAUUUACAAUACUUUAUGAUAAUCUUGAUAUUUCCUUUUGCCAAGCGUGUUUUCUUGAAAUUGGAACUCUAGGCUAUAAUAAAUUUUCCGGGGGUUCUUAGUUUGUAUUCACCAGUUACUGUAAGGCCCUAUAUGUACAUGAAAGUAUAUGUCAUGCAAAAAUUUAAACAAUCUCUUUCAUUACUAUAUUCGAAAAGUUCUUUCAUGGUUUGAUGUAUGCUUCUUAGUAAUCAUUUAGUGUAUUUCAGUAAUGAAUUCUCAUGAUAAAAAUAUUUUCUAUACUGCAGGUUACUAUGAUUUUUCAUGAGGUCCUUAGGUUAUAUCCACCAGUGUCCAUGCUUCUUCGAACUGUUUUUGCCGACAGCCAAGUGGGAGGAUUGUAUUUACCAGAUGGAGUGCAGAUUGCUUUGCCAAUCCUCCUACUUCACCACGAUCAUGAAAUUUGGGGAGAGGAUGCAAAGGAAUUCAACCCGGGGAGAUUUUCUGAAGGAGUUUCAAAGGCAGCAAAGAGCCAAGUUUCUUUUUUUCCAUUUGGUUAUGGUCCUCGGAUAUGCGUCGGACAAAAUUUUGCAAUGAUGGAAGCAAAAAUGGCUUUGGCAAUGAUCUUACAACGUUUCUCAUUUGAACUUUCCCCAUCCUAUGCUCAUGCACCUAUUAGUCUUCUAACUACGCACCCCCAGUAUGGUGCACACCUGAUUUUACAUGGACUUUAGCAUCAGAGUUCUUGUUAUCAGUGAGAGUUAGCAAGACCUUUAAACCUAGAUAGUGUUGAAUUUAAAAUGCCCACACUUCCUUUCACUUGAGUGCUCUUUAAAGUCAUUAUAUUAAUAAAAUUCUCUUUUGUAUGUUUGUAAGAGAUCAUAUAUAAAAAUGAUCACUUUACAAGGAGAUGCAUUUUUCUCUAUUCUUGUCCCCCCAAAAUGAAAAGAAAAGAAGAACUGCUGACAAUCUAUAUUUGGAGAAUGGACAUACAUUGAAAUUAUUUCUGAUGGGUGACCAUGCAUGUUGUGAUAUCUACAAGGAAACUACCAUUCCAAUAAUAGGAGAAAUAUUCUCAUUUGUUCUUAUCGUUAUAGAGUGGUGUCUCAUUCACUAUAAUUGGGUAGUAGACUCUUACGGAAUUUUAUGGCUAGGUAUCUGUAAAGAAGUUCGUACUAAAUUGGGUAGCAAGAUAAUACAAUUUUGGAGUUACUACCUCUAAGAAGUUGUCUGCGUACACUUGAUUCCGAUCCAUGUAAUGACAAAUUAUAAACCUCAGGGGCCCGGUCCACCCCCUAUUUUUACUGGAUCUACAAUUUUGCCAUUCUCCAAGAGUUUUAGACAACUUCACAAUGUUCCACAACCUUAACGAACCUUUUGGAUGAGCUUUCAUAUUCUUGGAGCAGCUUGAUGUGCUUGCAGUAGCUUUACAUGAUUGCUAUAAUCCCAUAUUGGAAGCUUAAGAAAGAGGAACCUCUCCUAGUACCUAUAACGACCAAUUGUUAUUUCACUUGAUUUCUUCAAGUGUUGUAUUCUUAUUUGCUUCUAGUUUCACUUCUGCAGCAAGCCAAACUCACUGGGAUGCUCAGAGUUUUUAGGUGCUCAAACACUACAUGGAUUUUUAGGAGAGAUCUUGGUCUACCAAAAGUGGUGGACGUGUUAGAAAGCACUAGCAAAAUAAAAAUAAAAAUAAAAAAAGAAAGAAAGAAAAGCCAAGAAAUCAUUGAUAAUAAAAUAUUCACAGUUGAUCUUGACAUGUGGAUAAAUUAUUUCAUAAUCAAGAAGUAUUCACAAUUGCAAAACCGCCCACAAGCUUACAUGCAUGCCCUUUUAGCUUUGUGCUAUAUAUUUAGAAUUUUGAGAGAAGCAAAGAAAGAAAAAUGAAGAAUAUUUUUUAACAAUUGAAUUUAAAAUCAUGAUGCACUUUCAUCUAUUUAUAGGCACGACAAUAAAUUAUAACAUUUUAUAUAUUUUAACUUUACAAAGUCUACCAAUGACUUUACACCUAUUCUAACAUUACAAUUUAUUUGUGAAUUUAUAAUGUAACUUCACAAUUAAUUUGUAACUUUACAACUUUUGUUUCUAACUUCAUAAUUGAUUCUAAAUUUACAACUUUUGUAAAUUCACAAGUUAUUGGUGCCUAUCUUCCACCUUUUGUAACUUUAUAAUUCAUUGUACAUGCAUUAUAAUAUUUUAAUUUCUAAAGUAAAUAUCUAUGAUUAAUUAACUUAUUUGUAUGUUAUGAACUCUUCAUAUUUCAAAGUUAAUUGUCUCUUAUCAAUAAGUUAAGGUGAGGACAUAUGGUAUGGGACCUUUGUGGGAUCUUUAAUUAAUUACAUCCUUAGUAAGUUUGUUAUGUUUGUUCCAAAUAAAUUUAUUAAUUAUAAUUAUAUUUAAAACGUAUUAUAAUUUCACCCUAAGAAUAGGAGAUAUAUAAGUCAACUUCCCACUUAUAUAUAUACAUAUUAAUCCUUCCAUGAAUUAAUAUUCAUAACAAAUUUAUUAGGUUGAACCAAGAUGACUGUCAUUACCAAAUUACAAGUGCAUCACCUCUUACAAUUAGAUCUUUAAGAAAAACAAUUUAAAAAUUCCUAGUAAACAACAUAUUAUAUUAUAGAUAUGUACACUUGAUAAAAUACUUAUUCCAAAUUGAACAACUAGUAUUUCAAUAUAUUUUGUAAGUGACACAAUAUUUAAUAUUCUCUCAUAAUACAGUCUGUUAUUAGACAUCAACGAUUAACUAUAUCAAAGCUACAUUUAUAUAACUUGAUGACAUCCUUAAGCCAAAGGACUUUAUGCAACACUAAACAAAACAAGUUUUUGUUGGAAUAUCUAGAUUACUCCAUUCCAAGCAUUGUUUCAUGGAGUGCAUACUACUACAAUCCUAAGGAUACUAGAUUUAAUGCAAUGGAAGCAACAAAAACAAAAAUGUUAGAUCUAGGUGCUCUAGAAAACAAUACUUAUUAUUUGAAUAGUCCUAGAUCAACUCUAGUUGGUCAAUAGUAUGAUUUAGAUCCUGAAAACAUUGCAAUUUGUUGUCUAAUGGCUCUCUCCUAAACCUUACAUGUGAAAAUGGUGGAAUCCUUUCUAUAGAGAUGGAGGCUAAGGCUCUAUCUUGUUUGAAGGUUGAAUAAUUGAAGUUAUAAGCCUUAAACCCUUAAUAAGAUUUAUAUAGUCUUUGCCUAUGGGAUUAAGUGACUUUUGCCCAUCUUGAGCUUAGGUCGGUUAAUCUAACCUAAUGGUUCCUAAUUAAUUAAUUAGUCAUAUUGGGAUACAAUUAAUUAAUUAGUCAAAUCCAGAAAGAUUGUUCAUAAGCUCUUAUGCAACUUUGUGUAUUUAUCAAAAUACCCUUAUACACACAUAUGAACAAAAAACCCUAAUAUCCUUCAAAUAAUUAAUGUGCCACCAAGGAAUAUGAACUUGAGUAGGGACUAUUAGGACCUAUAUAUAGGAAAAUAAAGGCCUCUUCAUAAUCUAAUUAUGAACUUAACUCAACACCAUCAUGCUUCCUUGCACCUUCUUAUACACACAAGGUUCAUUAUUGUUUUGACCAAAAUCAAGGGUCUUAAUUUCAUGUUCUAAACACUUGUUCCAUGAGCAAGAGGUGUGAAUUAAUCCAAAAUAGGCUUAUGCAACUUGCAUACUAGAUGCUCUCUACCCUUUGCCAUGAAAACAUCUGGUUGUAUCAUAUGAAUGCUCUCAUCAAGGUAGUCGUUUAAGAAUGUUGUCUUAACAUCCAUAUGACAUAUCUCAUAAUUGAGAUAAACUAUAAUGGAUAUGAGUACUUUGAUUGAUUUGAGUAUAGCUACCACAGAAAAAGUUUCCCACCGUCAAAACUGGGUUUCAAACUCUAAACCUUUAGCUAGAAGCCUAGCCACAAAAGUCUCAAUUGUUAGGAUAAAGGCUCAAAAGCAUGAGAAGAUGUCAUAAAAAAGUUUCCAUUAAUAAAGUUAUUUACUAUGAUUUCCAGAAUCCAUUUCUAUCAUUGAUUACAUUAAUUGUUACCCGAGCAUUCAAAGCUUGUAUCACUUACAUUGUACAUGACUUGAGUGCAUUAGGAGUUGCAUAAAGGAUCCACAACAAGGAUUCUUUGCAGGAUGAUAAGUAGUUCACUACCGGUUCAUGGAUUAGGGCAAUCCAUCAGAGACUAUAUCACACUACCUGACAAUUCGAGGGAUGAUACAAAUAGAAUUCAAGUACAAAUUGUAUGGCUUAUUGACAAAAAGGAAACUGCAUGUGUCAAAUGAAUUAAAGAAGGAAGGGUUCCCUUACAAACUAUUUUGUCUUGGUCAUUAGGAUGGUUUUCCCAUGGUGGGGCACUAUUAUGUAUGAUUACACAUUGGAUAAGACCUACAAUGAAUCAUGACAUUAGAUAUCGAGUAGUCAUGAUUCAUCAAGUUACUAUGUUGCAUGGGCUCUCAAUCUUAGAUAAUAUUGAGCUAGUAUUGAGGUCUUUAGUGACUUUAACCUAUGGGUGAGACCCUAAGGUGGUCAUAUAUUCUCUACAAAUUUGGUUACUAGUAAUUAAGGUAGGUGGGCAAUAGGUAUUCUCAAGAUAGGCACCAUUGAUAUCUUAUGGGUUUGAUAUAGUAUGUCUUUAUGGAUGAUCUUAAGGACAAGUGAUUAAGAAAUCUAUGGUCGUGGUAAUUCCUUAAUUGAAAAUUGACAUAUGCUCUUAGAAAGCUAGAGUAUGUCAAUUGAUCACACAAUAAGAGAAUUUGAAACUCAAGAAUUAGAGAGGUAAUCAUGAGUGGUUGAUAGCAAUCACCUUGUUAGAUUACAAACACCGAUUCAUAGGGACUCUCCAUUUAAUGGAUAGUAGGUCAUGGACCUAAGUUUAUACCUUAUUUUAAUAUCAUAGGAUACUAAAGUGUAGUUGGCCCUUUGAAGUGGAAUAUUAAGCUAUUUUUAGAAUUAGAUUAUAAGGGAGUCAAUAUUUUUCUAUGGAUCCAUGUAGUUCCCACUCAAGCUCAUAUUCCUUGGUGGCACAUUUAUUAAGAGAUAUUAAGGUUCCUUAUUCAUAUAUGUGCAUUAGGACAUUUUGGUAAAAAUAUAAGAUUACAUAAGAGCUUAUGAAUGAUUUUUUGGAUUGGCUAAUAAAUUAAAUUAGAGCCCAAUAAAACUAAUUAAUUCAUUAGGGCCUAAUGGGUUGGAUUAACUGACCUAAGCUUAAGGUGGGUUCAAGUCACUUAAGCCCACAAGAAAGCCUAUAUAAUACCCAAUAGGGGUUCAAGGCUCCAAACACUUGGCAUUCAAUCAUCUAAAGAAGAACCCUAGCCUCUACCCCUUCUAUAGAGGAUUCCACCUCCUUUCAGGCAAGAACCUAGGAAAGGAAGCAAUCAAGUGGAAGACUUAUUGGUUUUUAAGAUCUGCUAUGCCUCUUUAUCGAUUGCUAAUGAUAUAGGAAUAUCCAAAUCAUAGAUUUUACAUCUAAACUUAAUGUUCUAUUUGCUUCAAUUUCUUAGAUCUAGAGAUUCCUAGGAUAAAUUUUUCAUGAACCUAUGAUUUAAGGAUUGUCUCAACAUCAACCUUUCUAUUUACUCCUUUUUUUUUUUUUUUUUUUUUCUAGAUUGUUAAGACAUUGAGUCUUGUUUAUAUGUUGACAAUUUUGUUCCUUUUAAUGUUUGGCUAUAAAAGUCUUUUUAGAUUGUGACUUACUCUCUAUUGAAGAUUAAGAGUUCUUUUUCAUCCAACCGAGAAGUCAUACGUAUGUCUAAAAAGGUUUGGCUUGUGUCAAUUUAGGCUCCAUUGAGAUUUUAGGAGUAUCAACUUUGCUUUGAACUUAAAAUGAUUUAAAUUUGACCAUUGAAAAAGGGUAGGACUGUUCAAGUGGCCUGGAGAGCUCAAAUGCUCAAGAACGCUCAAAUGCUCAAGAACGCUCAAGUGAGCCUUACUGCUCAAGCACCCAAGGCACUCAAGUGGUGGGUGAGUUGGCUCAAGCGGUUAUGAAAAUUUUGCCAAGUUUUUUCACGCAAAAUUGGUUUGGAACUCUUCCAAAACAGAAAUUCUUUAGGCUUUUGCCUAUAAAUACCUCUCUUUUAACCCCUUAAGGGUUAAAGAUCAUUAAAAGAUUGUGGAGAAAUCACAUAGAGAUAAUAUAUUCUUUAGAGAGGAUCUCUUAGAAAGAAAGCCUAAUGUGACACACCAUUCUUAAUCUCUCAUUCAAGGAUUUGAUCUUUGAAUCUUAGGUUGAAGACCUUCAUCUCUUUGACAAGGGUGAAGUGAUCCAUUAGAGCAAUUGAAGGCUAUUGCAUCACAGGCAUAGAUUAAGUUGUAGGUAUUGGAGAGUAAGUCUUUAGGGUAAAGCAGUUAGGUAAAUUGGUGUAACUCGAUUUCUUAUAGUAGAUUUAGAUUAGUAGGUCUUAGACCUCGUGAUUUUUUAUCUCCACAAUAAGUGUGAGGGUUUUCGACAUUAAAAUAUCUAUGCCUUAUUGUUUAUAUCUUUUUAUUAUUUGAUAUAUUAUUUUAAUUGCCUAAAGGAAAGAUUUGAUAAUCCCUAACAACUCACAGGUUAAAAUAUGGGCAUAACAUAUAAAUAUUUAUUUAAAUUUUAAAAUCACCCAUUCACCCUUCUUCCCUUUGGGUGUUCUCUAUUGGACUUUCGGUUUUUCAAUUGGUAUCAAAGUGAGAUAAAAAUUUGAUUCUUUAUCUUAUAGAUUAAAAAUCAAAAUUUUAUUGAUCAUAUAGGGUAAAAAUCAAAUUUUUAUUGAUCUUGUAAGUCCGAUAUGGAAUAAUCUAAACGUGGUGCCCCUUUGAAUAGUGCACCCUACUUUGGUGGGAAUAACUAUUCCCAUUUGGAAAUCUCAUAUGAUGUUUUUCCUUAAAAUGCAAGGAGAAAUGGUAUGAAAUUCAGUAGAAUCUGGAUGAAGAACCCCAUUGAUCCUUGAUUCUGAAGGAAGAUCAACAGAAGAACUUAAACCUAAACACGAAUGGGACAAAGUUGACAAUGAAGAUAGUGAAGCCAAUGCUAGGGUUUUAUUUAGCAUUUUUAAUGAAGUUUGUCCAAAUGAGUUUCACAUGAUGGUAAAUUGUAAACGUUCAAAAGAAGCAUGGGGUAUUCUUCAAGUCACUCAUGAAGGUGCGUCUGCUUUAAAGAUUUCUAAAUUACAAAUGCUUUCCAUUAAAUUUGAGAAUAUUAGGAUGCAUGAAAAUUAGAACUUUUCUUCCUUUUAUUUUGAAUUAAGUGGUAUUGUUAAUUGUUUCUUUAACAUUGGAGAACCUAUUCUUGAUUCUAAGGUAGUAAGAAAAAUAUUAAGAUCUAUCUCUAAGAGAUUUAGACCUAAAGUUGCUACUAUAGAGCAAAGUAAGGACAUCGAUUCUGUGAGAGUUGAUGAACUUGUUGGCUCCAUUCAGACAUAUGAGAUGACCCUACUUAGUUCUCAAAAGCCUAAAGACUCUACCUUUAAGGCUUAUGAGAAUGAGGAAAAAGAUAUUGAAAUGCCAUAUAACAUAGCUAGGGAUGAAUUCACUCAAAUAGAUAAAAGAAUUAAAAAGGUCAUGAAAUUCAAUAAAAGAUUUUUAAAAAAAAUCAAGAAUCUGGAAAAAGCAAAGAGACAUAACAAACAAUAUCCAAAGAAAAGGAUAAAGAUUCCUUCAAAGGUAAGAAAGUUGAAUGCUUUAACUACGGAGGACUGGCACACUUUGCUACUAAUUGUCCCAUCUCCAAAGAUAUUGAAAAGUCUAUGUAGGCAACAUAGAGAAUGCUUCUAUAGCUUCUAAAGAUGCAAGGUAUGAUCCCAAUGACUUUUUAGCUUUUAUUGCAUCUAUGGAAUCUGAGCAUGAUAGUGAUAAUGAUAGUGAUGAUGAAUUUACUGAUGAUCAAAGAGCAUGAAAAGCUAAUUAAGAAUUAUUUAAAUGAUCAUGAUAUUCUUCAAACUCAUAAAACCAAGAUUGACAUGUUUAAUGUAGAAAAGAGUAAUUUUCUUGAAAAAAAAAAAUAGAUUUCUUGAGUUUGAACAUCAUUAUCUCAUUGAAAAGAAUAAUGCUCAAUCAAGAGAUAAAGAGCAAUAAGCCUUCUUCAUUUGUGAAUAAAGUUUUUCACCCUAGAACUUGAGUGCUUAAUGAAAUUCUUGAUAAAUGCAAAACCUAUUGUGAUAAAUGAGGUUUGGGAUAUGUUAAUAAAGAUGAAACUCCCUCUAGUGGAGAAACUAUAUUUGUCAAAGGUAAAAAUAUAACCCCUAAUUAAGCAAAAUCUCCUAAAAAGACAUCACAAUGCACACACUUUAAGAAAACUAGACACUUUCAGUUUAGAUGUUACCUAGAAAGGUUUGAAUCUCAAAUGAGUAGGCUAAUGAAUGAUUUUAUAACUCCCUUAAAAAUAACUUCUUGAAUAAUAGGAAAUGGGAUAAGCCUAAUCAAAAGCCUAGAAGCUAACAAAGCUCCUCUAAGUCACCACUUAGGACUAAGCAACUUUGGAUGAGAAAGGAUAGGAAUAAGUAUCAAGUUGUCUUCAAUGCUCUUAAAGCUAGAUCAUUCAAUGAGUGGUACCUUGAUAGUGGCUGCUCUAGACACACGAUAGGUGAUAAAUCUGAAGAGUAAGUCUUUAGGGUAAAACAACCAGGUAAAUUUGUGUAACUUCAUUUCGUAUAGUAGAUUUAGAUUAGUGGGCCUUGACCUCAUGUUUUUCUUUCUCCACAAUUAGUGUGAGGGUUUUCCAUGUAACUUAGUGUAGUUUUCCUUUUUUGUAGUCACUUAGUGUUAAGAUUCAAUAUUGUAUAAAUAUAAUUAGAAUUUGUGUAAAGAUGUAAUGCAAUGAAAUAGAAGAAAAUAAAAAAUAAAAAUCUCAAAUUUUGGGUUUAAUUUUAUCAUAUUUAUUUUUAAAAGGUUUUUAAAUGAACAAACCUUUAAUAAAUGUAUAAAUAAAUUGAACUAUAUUCAUAUAUUGAUUUAAUUACUGCUACAAUACAAUCUUGAUGCAAUUAAAAAGUUAAGGUUUCUGUUUUUCAGCAAAUGGUAGGGUUUACAAUCUUAAUGCAAUUAAAAAGUCUAGGUUUUUGUUUUUCAGUAAAUGAUAGCGUUUGGAAAAGUUGAGAGAUAUGGGAUUUCUAUUUUGAAGAACAUGAGUGGCAUGUAUUCUUACUCUAAUUGAAAUAUUUUUCUGGUAGAGCUCUAGAAACAGGGGGAUGUAGAAAGGAGAAGUUGGGAGACAAUGCAUAAUGCAAUAUAUUUCUAGAAAAAGGGGUAUAGUUUUUUUCUUGUAGAACUUGAAGAAAAUAAAGAUGAAACUAUUGUUUUGUUUUUUGAAAACAAGAGAGAAAGUGGACUUGGAUUUGUUUUACUAGAUGAAGGAAGUUGAGAUACAAUAUUUUGGAUUUUUUUUUUUGUCCAAAUUAUCUUAUCAUUCAUCAAGUAAUGCUCUAUAUAUCUGUUUAUUACAAGUGGAAUAUAUAUAUAUAUAUGUUGUCUUAGAAUUUUGAUUUUGUCAUAGUUGUUGUAUAUUCUAUAGAAUGUUAUCAUUUAGAGUACCAUGGAAUUAGAAAUUGAUCAACAAACCUAGUUUGAUAACUAAAAUAAACCACCAUUGUUUUAUCAUAGAAAACUGAAAGCUGGAGGCCUUUAAAGUAGCUGGAACAAUAAUAUGAAAGAUGCAAAAGUAUGCAUGGGAGUUACAAGGUACUUAAUGAUUGGUCUUUUUAAUUGCCCUGUGUUGUGAACAAGUAAUCAAAGUAAAUAGUGAAUAUGAGGGUUAGAGUUGAAGGUUCAUUUUGCAUAAACUUGUAGCUUAUCUAGUCUUGAAUUUCAAUUUAUCUUAAUAAACACAAAUUCUAGAACUUUUGAGUACACUAAAUACAAGAGAUGAACACUGUUAGAAUAGGAUAAAAUGGUGUACUUAUUGUCAAUACUUUUUCAUAAUUUUAUUUUGUUUAAAUGUAACAUAAAGGCACCAGUUCUAUGUGUGAAUCUAUCAAUUGUAAUUAAAUAAGUGAGAAUAUAGAAAUCAUAUGUUUUUUCAAUUUAUUUUUGUAUAUCAAAUUUUCUAAAUCGUACUCCGAUGUGUUAUUUUUUUGGUAGUUUAAACCAUGAGCCUCUUGUCAGCUAUCCAUCAAAAUUAGUCUAUUAAGUUUUUUUGAAUGUUGUUGAGGAUUAUUAUUAUUAGAGGAAUUCAUAGAAAUUAAUUUGAAAAAAAAAAGCUUGAAUUUUGUAUUUGAUAAUUCCAAAAAAAGGAUAAAAAAAAAAAACAAAUAAUAACUUAUAAAUGCCACCAAUUGAAAACUACAGUGCAUGCCUAUGCUUUAGCGGGGGUAAAAAAACAAAUGCAACUGCAUAUCUAUGGUAGGGGUCAAAAGUAGGAUUCAACUAUAAGAAUCAUUUAUUGCAUCCUAGUUGUGGCCACAGCUAAUGCUUGAGCAUGUACUCACAGUGAUAUUAACAACUGAAACUAUAAAAUAUAGUUACACCACCUAUGGCCACACUCAGUGGCAGUCAGUUUGGUGUGGUAAUAUGUUGCAAUCGCACCAUUUAUAAUCUUUAGUGAGGGUCACUGACUGCUACUAUAACCCAUUUUUCCUAUAGUACCAGUGUGUCCUAAAUGUAAGCUAAUUAUGAUCUAAUGUAUGAAUUGAAUUUGCAGUCAUAUGAGUGAUUAACCGUGACCUAUUUAAGUGUUAAAUCAAAUGCCAAAGGAACCUUAAGCAAGUACCUAAUUAAAUCUAAAAUGUAAUUAACCUUUUAAUUACUAUAUAUGUAUGUAAAUUAUGAAAAGUGAACUUGGAAGAGCACAAAAUCAAAGUAUUUAUUCAAAGCCAAUUAUUCAUCAAAUGGCCUAUUUAGGUUUAAAAAAAAAAUCCCUAGCAUCAAAUUAAGCCUAAAAUCAAUACUAAACCAUGAAAUAAUAAAAAUCAAUCACCUAAACAAUGAAUCUAUCAACACUCAUGUGUGUCCUAAUUUAUCCACACCCAAACAUGUUUAAAUUCAAAUCAAAAGAUACAAAAAAAAAAAAAAAAAAAAGUAAAAAAAGAAAGAUGAAGAAAUUAAAAAAAUGAAAAUUAAAGAAAACUAAUCAGGAAACUCUCUUAAAUUCGAUGAUAUAGAAUGUUCUUCAAAUUGUUUGAUGUCUUCAAUAUGCAGCCGAACACAUAUGUUUCUCCAAGCUAAUGAUUUCUUUCCUUCUAAGCCACUAAUGCGAACUCUAUGAGUUGAUGAUAUGUUAAUGAAAAUGAAGAUAUAUAUGGUGUGUUCUGAGGGAAAUGCAGAAGAUGAAUGAAGGAGCUUGCUAGUAUUGUAUGUUGUUGAUGUCACAAGUGUAAUAGUAGCAAAAAGGAUGUGCACUGCUAUGGAGAAGUGGAAGCUAGUGAUGUGACAAAGUGUUGUGAUCCAUUUCCACUCCACCCCAAUGGGCGGCUUAGUUUCUACCUCAACCUUUCUUUAGACUUACAACAAUAGGGUUUUGGUUGAGGAUAUGCCCAAGGAUUUACCUUUGGCAUUGUGCUUAUUUCAUGAAAAACUUUUUUACUACCAAGAACAUCAACAACCUCAAAAUCAUGCAUGUCAAUUAAAGCAUGUUCAUUCCAUGAAUGCAGGUAACAUGAUGCAGUGUGAUUGGUCAACAUUUGUUUAUUUCAUAGAGCCCUCCCUUAUGUCCUCUAAACUAGAAGCUUCUUUCCUAAUGUCUUUCUCUUCAUGUGUCUCAUAAGGGUAAGUUUCAACUAGCCCUUCUUGGUUUUGCUCAUUAGGUUGAGAAAAGGAGUAGAAUUCCCCUUGCUUUAGAGCUUUCAAAAUAGAAAUAAACCGACAUACAAAAUCUUUGAGUUCUUAUAAUGUUUGUGUAAGCUCACACAUGGAGUGUGAUUCUCCAUGAAGGGAUUAAUAGUUUCCUUAAACUUAAAAUUAGGAGUCGGCUUAUAGGAACAUAAACUUGGUUGAGGUUCUUGGUAGUAGGGAUGAAACUAUUGUUGAAAAUAUUGAGAGUGCUCACUAUAGAGGUGUUCAUUCAAGGCCUCUUUUAAUCUAGGAAUGGUAGGACAAUGGUGGGUCAUGUGUGUCUGUUAUCAUAAAUUGUACAAAGGACUUCAUUAGAGUUAGACACACUCUUAAACUCUAUUUUUUCUCCUCCAUUACCUCCACCCUUUUGGCUAAUGUAGCUAACCUAACACUAUCGUGCUUUUCACUUACAAUAUACUUCUCCCUACCCAUGGCACUUGUUCCUUCUUUUCCUCUAGUUAAAUUUUUCUUAAGCUCAGAAGAGUCCCAAGCUUGAGAACUUCUUACUAGUUGCUAUAAGAAAUCAUAGACUUCCUUGGGCUCUUUACUCAUGAAUUCCUUUUUGCACAUGGUUUCAACAAAUUGGUGAGAUUGAGUGGUUAACCCAUUGUAAAAUAGGCUAACUACUCUCCAUGGCUCAUAACCAUGAUGGAACAAAAGUUGAUUAAAUCUUGAUAUCUUUCCUAACACUCAUAGCAUGACUUCUUCUCAUUUUGUUUAAAAAGACUGAUUUUCCUUCUAAGAGUCAUUGUACGUUGAAGAGAGAAAUAUCAAUUAAUUAUAUUUUCAAACCAGGUACCGAUAAACCUUGGCCUUAAACCAUAGAACCACAAUUUAGCCUUCUCCUUUAAAGAGAAUGGAAACAAUUUAAGUCUUACAACAUCCAUAUUGCAAUUAGACUCUUAAAAUGUUCCAAAUAGUGCCUCAAAAUCUUUACGAUGGAGAUAAGGAUUUUCUUCAUCUCCCCAAAAAAAUGAGGUAGUAGUUAGAUCAUGGAUGGCACAAUGUUAAAUGAUUGGGCAUUGUAAGGAGCUAUUAUGCAAGAGGUGACACUUGCCAUGGGCGGUUGGAGCUAAUCUCUACGAGUUCAAAUUUGAGCCAUGUUGGUAGGAUUAGGAUUAAGUAAUAUGGGUCUAACUAAAUGGUCUUGACUGUCCCUAGUCUAAUUUACCAUAUACAACUUUAGCAACAAUCCUAAUAACCAAUUCCAAACAAAUGAAUUAAUAAAAAAUAAUAAAAUAAAAUAAAAAACAAGAAUAAUGCAAGUAGAUGAAAUAAAAGAAACGAGAGUGGAAAGAAUUCAUCGAGUUGUGAUGACAAUCACAACCAAAUAAACUCCCACAAAAUUUGUUGCAAACUUUAAGAACUUUCCUCAAUAUUGAUGCUAAAAACUUGACAGCACCAAAUGUGUGUGAAUAAUUUAUUGGUUCCCCAAGCAUAGGGGUGUGGUUGUAGCUUUAGAAAAAACUCGGGAAGUUGGGUAUCUAACCUCAAAGAAGGGAUCUUACAAUGUAGGUGAGGUGGAAAGAAUAAAAAAAUGAAUAAAAUUGAUGGUGAAAAAUAAUACUUUCUUGAAUUCUUGCUUGGGCAAAGAAGUGGUUGGAAAGUUGUGAAAAGUUGUAACUAAUAAUCAAGGAAGGGGGAAUCCCUAAGGUCCUUUCCCUACCUUAGAAUGAUCCUUGUCAUUCAUAUAUCAUUUGAAAGUGUUCACUCAUCAAUUAAAUCCCAAUGUAUAACCCUAAGUUUUCCUAAAAAAUCCAAAAUAUAAGUGAUUUGAAAAUUGUUGUCUUGGGCUUACAUAGGGUUGUUCCAAGUGAAAAUGGUUUUUCCCAUUAAAUGCUUGGCAUACCCUAUGGGAAGCCUAGGCUUCAAUAUCUAAUUAGGCAUAAACAUUUAGUGGUUUCAUGAACCCAAUAUAUCAACCAUUUUUCCAAUUAGGGUAUUUAAGGUUGUCCCAAGUCAAAAUGGCUUUUCCAUUAAGCACUUGGGAUACCUUAUUGAGACCUAUAAUUCCCAAUUAUUAAAUGUUGAAAUGAGGUGAUUUAUAUUGAACAAAUGAGAUUCUAUUGAUGAAUUAAAAACAAUUGUUAAUGAAAGGAUGCAUUCCAAUGGAAGAAUGGGAAGCCUAGGGCACCCUUUCCCCAACCUAAAGAAAAAUGCAAUAGAUAUUGAAUUGAAAUUAACUUGAAAGAAUAAAAGGGAAAGCAAUAAGUUAAACAUCAAACCUUAAAUCAAAUAUAAAAUUUCAAUGAUCAAUGAUAAUAAAAGGAUUCAAUUAUGCAUUAGAUAAAACCAAUUCAAAAUAAAGGAAAUAAAUGAAAGCAAGAACAAGAAACUAAAGAAAACUUAACAACAAAAAAGUGUAUCCAAGAUCUCCAAUUCCCAAGGUUGACUCCAAGAAGUAGCAAAAUAUGUAAGAACUCCCCCUUAAGGGAGAAGAUCUGAACCCUCCCAAUGAUUGCUCAUUGCCUCUUUAUAUCAUUCCUUAAAUCAUCCCUAUGUUCCUUCAAAUGAGAGCUUUUCCCAUGCAAGUCAAGGGCUCAAGAAUGGGUUGGAAUCAGCCCCCCUCUUUGGCCCAGCCCAUUCCUCAUUUUUAAGAAAAUUAAAACGCUUUUCUUGUGUUACAAUUAUAUGAGUUUUAAGGCCCAAAGGGCGAUUAUAGGUGGCGAAGCCGAUGUAAGGCCCUUGGUGGUGCCUUCAUGUGUUGAAACAUCACUUGUAUUUCUCAAAUUUAUUCCUCCAAACUUUUAGGCAUGUUUUGCAUCACGAGGAAUUGAUAUGGGAACAUCCAGAUCUAGGUAUGAGUAUUAUAUCUCUAGACCUAUCAUUAAUAAUAAUUUUUUAUUAUCAUUUUAUUCUAUUGUGAUAGAUUUAGAGAUGCAUAGGGAUAUAUGCAUGCACCCUACAAGAUCCAAGGCAUAGGAAUUGAGAGAUCCAGGGUUCCUAACAAAUACCAUAUACAUAUAAACAUGCAUUUUUUUCCUUUUUCUUUUCUUUUUUCUGCAUACUAUGAUCAACAAGGAACAAUCUCCAAUAAAGAUACAUAUAAUAAAGCUCUCCCCACAUAUUGUUAAAAUGUGAAUGCUCAUUAACAAGAUAACCCUCUCAAGCUAAUAUCUUUGGAUCGUUGCCCAUUGGGAGAAAUAGAGGAAGGAUAUGAUUGUCCUCCACAUAGUGAUAUAUGGAAAACCAUCUCUUAGGGUGAAACAAAGAGAAUGACAAUAAAAAAUGACAUGAGAAAAAGAAAGAAGGGAUGAACAUCACAAGUGAUGAUACAGGAUAUAGGAAAAAGUUGAUAAAGACAAACUAGAGAAAGCACAAUGAAAGGUGAGGAAUAAGACCCAAAUAUGUUUGUUAGGUCCAAAGCUGAUGAGAUCCCUAGUCAAAGCACGCAAGCACUAUAAGGUCCCUAACUCAAUGUAAAUAGUGAGUGAGGUGAUGAAAAGAAAAGGUUAUGAUGCUCGCAUGAGGCUCAAAGGGCUAUCAAUAGAUAACUCUAUAUUUAAAGGUGAUUGGGUAUAAAGGUUCAUGGAAUGAUGACCACCCAUCCUUUGACCAUAACAACAAACAUUUUUCUCACAAACUCUCACAUGGUUGGCACUACAACUUGGUGUUCAUCUAAUAUAGCUAUGCCACCCUCUGGAAUGAUGUGAAAUCUUACACCAGAUACUCCAUGUAACCUCUAUGUCUAUCUCAAUCUUAGAAUAGUCAAUAAUCUCAUCAAGCAACCAACCCACUCUCUCAUCAUAAGCCACAUGUCAUCAUCUCAUGAAACCAACCUCUAUAGACAUGCCAACUCACUGAAGUCAUGUGUAAGGGCCUAAUUUGGAUACUUUGCGACAACCUCAAAUAUUCUCUUCUCGACCACUAAGUAGUCAAUAAAUACGUAGAGUAAUCAACUAACUCCCUCAUCACAAACUAUCUCUCAUACUACAAAAGUCACCUUUGGUCCAAUCCUCUCAAACUUUACUUGGUUGAAUUGAAUAAGGGAUGUACAAGGAUAGAAUAUGCGAAAAAGUAAAGGUCAUGCAAUGGUGUUAAGGAGAAAUAUUUUGGACAAGGUAUUGCUUUAAUCGAAAGGCAAAAUAGGUCACAGUCUUGAACUCCCUAGGUUAAUCCUCUGUACCUAGGUCAAUUGACUCAAUAUCCUCCAUGAUGGGUUAAGUCUUAGUGGUCAUGAUAUGCAAAUGAUGAGAUGUCUCAUAUCAAAAGUCUAACAUAUAUCAAUGUGGGGAGGUGCAAAAUAAAAAACAUACUCAUAAGAAAAAAAAUUACAUAUACCUAUAAGAGAAAAAGAAAAACAUAUACUCAUAGAAAAAAGAAUAUAUCAUUGAAUGAAUUGAUGACUACAUCAUAUGUGAAAUAAAAAUGACUCCAAACAAUUGGACUCUCAACAUAGACUGUAAACUACAACUCUACUAAAACCAAACUCGACAAAAUGAAGAUGGCUCUAUCAACAACCAUAACCAAACCAAAAAAUGCUCUAAACUAAAAUGUUGUAAAGAGAUGUAACCACAUCAACUAAAGUAAAUUCUCAACCCAGAAGAACUUAAAGUGUUAGGUGAUCAUCAAUACCGCUAACAUCCAUAACGAUCUACUGAAUACUAAGAGGAUGAGGAACUACAUCACUAGGUAUAGGCAUAGGUGAUCAUCAAUACCGCUAACAUCCAUAACGAUCUAUUGAAUACUAAGAGGAUGAGGAACUACAUCACUAGAAUGUAUAGGCAGGGUGUUAGUGGUCACACUCAGGCCAAGAUAAGUUGACCAUCCAACACUAAUCAAAUCAUGUAUCACAUAGAAGAGGGUUGUGCAAUGCUCAAUAUCUUGAGUUUAAUGAUAUAAACAAUGCUUAUGUAGAUAGAAGUGGAGGAGAACAGGAUGUGGUAGGGGACAUGGUACAAAAUGGGUUAUUAAUCUAACAUCUUUGAACUUCUUAAAGCUCUAGUCAAAGUUAUACCAAUGGUGAAAACUAUCUCGCAUGCCUUUAAACAUAUGGUUUGGGUGGUUGAAGAGCACUGGCUCUCGAAUAUGGUAGUCGUGGUUGAAUAGUAGUCUAAGCAAUGAAAGGUUGUUGCAUAUAAAUUGACUAGUAUUGGCACUAUGGAGAAGGAAACCAGGCUCUAACUAUGGAUGGCCUAUGAUAUGAAUGAUGAGUAUUCCUCUAAUGUUGAUAAUUGAUGGUGCUAACCUCUCCAAACCUAUUGGGUGAUCUAAUAGGCUUCCUCCUCUUAUUUUUUAGGGAAGGAGUAGGGUCUGUCCACAAACCUCCGUCAAUGCCUUUCUCAACAUUGAUGUUAGCCUGAACUAAGCUCCUAAAAUCCUGGAAAGGAAUACCCAUGAGGUGUCUAGUAAACCUAGGUUGGAGGUUUCGAAGAACUAUGUCAAUAUGAUCUUGCUUAUUAGCUUGAUCUACCAUAUUGGCCACUUUUGCCCUCCAACGACUAAAAAAUGAAGAAAUGGUAUCAUCUAGCUUUUGCUUAGUAGUCUCUAACUCUCUAAUGGAAACAUCAAUAUCGACAUUGAAAGCAAACUAUGUUAGAAACUCAUUAUAAACCCUCCAUUUUGUUCCUUUAGUACAUGCCGCCCCAUUAGGUGUUCUUUCAGUACUCCAUAGCAAUUUCCCAUUGGCCCACUGCUACUCAUAUAGCUUACUUUUUUGAGCCACCUCAAUGACUAUAGUUAAAGGAUUUAUCUGACCCCUCAUUUUGACCCUUGGCAACCUUGAGUUAGAUCUAUGAUUUUCUUUUUUUCUUUUUAGGAUAGAUCAUUUAAGUACACUUUUAAAACACUUAAACAUGCCCUAACACACUUACACAUGCCUUAGCACACAUAGACACACCCUAGGUCAAUUAGGCACCUUUUCUAAUCACCUUAGGUCACUUAAGAACUUCUUUGAUCACCCUAGGUUACUUAAGCACCUUUUCUAAUCACCUUAGGUCACUUAAGAACUUCUUUGAUCACCCUAGGUCACUUAAGCGCCUUUCCUUAUUACCCUAGGUCACUUAGACACUUUUCUAAUCACCCUAGGUCACUUAAGUACUUUUCUGAUCACCCUAGGUCACUUAGACACUUUCCUAAUGACCCUAGGUCACUUAGCACUUUCUUGAUCACCCUAGGUCACUUAGACAUUUUUUUUAGGAUAGAUCACUUGGACAUUUCUUUCGUUUUGUUUCACUUUAGGUUAAGUUUUCGUUUUGGUUGCUUGGUUUUAGGUGAGUAUUUGGCUUGAUUUUGAUUUUUUGAUUGCAUGAGAUAUAGUUUUUUUAGUUGUGCUAGUUCGAUAUUCCAUUUUUCAUUAUUAUCAGUUGCAUUGAUAUUCAUUUUCAAAUUUCGAUUGCAUAUGUGAUAUUUAUUUUUUUUGUUUUAGAAAAUGGCUUAAGAUUGAGAAUUCUUUUUAUUUUUUAUUUUAAUUGGGUGAAUUAAUAUUUUGAUUUUCUUAUACAUAUAUUUUUUUGAUUCUUUAGUUUGUUUUUCUAUUCCAUGAUUUCUAAUUUUAAUUUAUUUCAUUUUUAUUUUGCAUGAACGUGACUUGCUAUUUUUUCUAAAUUGUAUGAUUUUAUAUUUUAUCUUUUAUUUUCAAAUAUGCAUCUUUCCUUUACUUUUUGUUUUACUUUUGCAUGAAUUCGGAGAUAAUGGGGAAUUUGUUUGACAAAGAAACAUGGGUUGCCAUCCACUUACCUUAAGGACCACACAAAGGAUAUCACUUAUUAUGGGAAGGAAGAGAUCUCCACGCAUGCACUUGGAAAGAAUGGUACAUAGCCAAGCAUCAAAAGGAAACUAGGGAUUCUGCCAGUUGACCGGAGAGUCCUCAUUGAAACACAACACCAUGGGAAAAAGAGGAAGAGAUUCAACUCGCGCGCACUAUCGAGAGAAUUUUCCAUAGGAGACCACGAUCAGUAACAUACAUCCAUUCGGGGGAUUCCCGAGGGCAGGAUAGCGUGCAUUCUCCAUAGCCAGCCACACCAUAGUGGAGAUAUCACAUAUGCACUAAAAGAAAAAAACUUGUUUCUCUCAAUAGAAGAACAAAUAACGCACCAUAGGAUUUUUAAUGGAAAAAUAGGAAGGGAUACACAGAUUUUUGGAGUGGAUUGCAUUGGGGAGGAGGACGUAAUCUUCAGUUUGGGGGAUAUCCACCGACACCAUGGGAAUGCAUAUAGAAAGCAACAAAGCACACACCAUGCGGAAUGGUUCCCAACAUGGCUGCAUAUUGUAGCACACUUGGAGAUCUUUUGGGAACACGCAUCAUUGGAGGAAGUCAGACCACACACAGCAGAUUGUCAUUCUCCAAGACUUACACGCACAUGCCAUGCCGCCUUGAAGGAUUUCCAUUGUGGGUGCCAUUCACGGCUGCACCUAUUUUAAAUAGAAACACCACACUGCAACAUGUAUUUUGGAGGCUACCUGGACGCACUUUCCAUGGGCUGCAACUUGCAAAAUUUGUUCACAACCACACUUAGGUACUCUCCAUCAGUUUCAGAGUGGUGUACAACAAUCAGAUAAGAGGGAAAUACAGAGUCCCGGGGAAUUGCAUUCCCACCUACACACAUUGUUUCGAAGAGGUAAGUUAGAUUCUUGUUUAUUAGUUUUGCUUUUUUUUUUUUAAUUAGGUUAAAGUUUUUUUUUAUUCAUUAGUCUUGAUCCUUACUAUUAGUCCGAAAAAGUUAUAUAUUAAUUUUGAUUCAUCUUCUCUAUUGGAAGCCUUUAUAUUUUUUUUUAGUUCGUUAGAUUAAAUGAUUCCAUGUGACAAAGUGUUUAUUUUUAAAUUUGUUUUUAUUUUAGUUUAGUUUAGAUGCACUAAUAUAUCUUUUGUUUGUUAGUCUAAUUCAUUCCAUAGGACAGAUUUCUUAUUUUCUAGUUUGUUUAGCUUUAAUUUGAUUCAUUUUAGUUGGAUUUAGAUGCUUCUAUAAUUUUAAUGGAUUCUAUGUGAUAAAUUCUUAUUUAAUUUUUUUUUUUCUGAUUUAGUUUGAUUCCUUUUAGUUAAUUCAAAAGUUAUUAUAAUUUUAUUUAUCUAGUUUGAUUGAUAUUUUAGUCUUAAAAUUACUAAAUUUAAAUUCAUGAUUCAUCUUAUAUUUAAUCUAAGUGUUUUACAGAAAUUCAACUACUUGGUUUAAUUGAUUCCCCAUUAUUUCCUUUAUGCUUUAAAAUUGAUAAUUUUAGUGCUUGAUUGAUUCUAUUUAAUUUAUGUUUUCUGAUAUCUUAAUUAAACAAUUGAUGUGUUCAAGAUUGAUAAUUUUUUAGCUUUUGAUCCAUCUUGUUUUAGUCUAUAUACUUAUAAAAUUCUAAUGGUGAAUUAUUGAUUGUUAUCAUGUUAUUCUAUUUUGUCAAAAAAAUGCUUUGCUUAUUGUUGUUAGGAUUGAGCCUUGGAAAGCAUGAUAUGAUGUAACAGAUUGAGAUUCAUUUAUAAAUUUAUUUAUUUAUUUUUCUUGGUUUCCCUUAAAUAUCUCAUUUGUAUUAAUUGGUUAUUUGAGCAUACACACCCCAUAUCACUUACAUUGCAUAUGACUUAGGUGCAUUAAGAAUUGCACAAAUGAUCCAAGUCAUGGGUUUCUUACAGGGUAAUAAGUUAUCCAUUGUUGGUUCAUGGAUUUGGGCUAUCCAUCUGAGAUUAUAGUACACUACCUCCUAAUUGGAGGGAUGACUUGUCUUGGCUGUCGGGAUGGUUUUCCCAUGGUGAGUGUAUCAGUACAUUUGAUGUGCAUUGAACAAGACCUACAAUGAAUCAUAAUACAAGGCUAUUAGUUGUCACAAUUCACCAAGCUGCUAUACUGCAUGGACUCUCAACCUUGAGAGGAUAUUAAGCUUGUGCCAAAGUUAACAUGAGGCUUUGACCAAUGGAUGAGACCCUAAAGUGGUCAUAUAUCCUUAUGGAUUGGGUCAUUGUUGAUGGAGGUUGGUGGCAAUAGGUAUUCUCAAUAAAGACACCAUGAUAUCUCAUGGAUUGAGACGGUGUGUCCCUUUGGGUGAUCCAAAAGACAUGUGAUCUAAAAGACUAUGGCUAUAGCAUUUCCUUUAGUGAAAAUUUGGCAUAUACUCCUUAGAGUUAGAGUAUGUCAAUCGAUCACAUAAUAAGUGGAAUCUGUAACUCAAGGAUUGAAGAGGUAAUCUUGAUAGGUGAGAGCACCGCCUUGUUAGAUUACAUACACCAGUUAUGGGGAGUAUGCAUUCAAUGGAUAGUAAGUCAUGGACCCCGAGCUUCGUCUCAUUGUUAUUUACAUGGGAUACUAGAGUACAAUUGAUUCUAUUUAGUGGAAUGUUGAAUCAACUUCAAACUUAGAUUCUAAGAGAGCCUGUACUCCUAUGGGUCUUAAUGGUUCCCACCUUGAGCUCAUAUACCAUGAUGACGUGUUUUAUAAGGGAUGAAUUAGCUUUUGGUUAAUUUUUGUGCAUAAGGGCAUUUUGGUAAUUAUGCAAGGUUGCACAAGGGAUAGUGAACAAGUUCUCUAGAUUAAGCUAAUUGAUUAAUGAGAAGGUCCUAUUGAUUAAUUAAUCAAUUAAGACCCAUUUUGGGCUAUAUUAAGUGACCCAAGCCUUGGUAGGCUUACUUAAGCCAAUAAGGGAACGCUAUAAAUCCCCCAUAAGGGUUAGGGUUUCCAUAAACUUGAGAGAGACUUUGUCUUCCACCUCCAGAAAAAUAGAGAGAUAGUGAGAGACAAGAGAUCCUCAUUUCCAAAGCCCACAUUUUGGAGUGUCAAAAUCGUGGUUUAAGUCAUCAGGUGAAAGAUCUUGGAUGUACAAGACUUUUAGAUUCAUUAUUCUUCAUCUUCACUGAGUGGAAUUGAUUUGGGAACAUCCAAAUCAAAGGUAAAGUUCUCUAAUGACUUUCCUCUUGAUCCUAGAAUUGUAAAAAUAUGAUUUUUGCUUCUAUGGCAUAGGAUCUGGAGGUUUAGAGUAGUUUUGCAUGCACCUAUAUGAUCCAAGGUAAGGGAAUGGAGAAAUUCAAGGUUCCCAACAAUUGCUCUGGUGAAACCCCUACAUAAAAAUCAUUUUUCAAAAACCUUUUAUUGUUAACUUGUUUAAUUUACUAUGUCUUUGAAAAGAAAAUUGGAUUUGAUCUAUUUUGAUGUUUUUAAUUCUUUUUUCCAAUGAUUGUAUGAUAUUGUAGACAUCUUGAACAUGAAUUUAGAACUUUGUUUGAGUUUUAAAAAAAAAAAAAAAAACAAUUUUGAAAUGGAAGAUAUAAACAAGACUUUUAAGGGUUUCGUUUUCACCUAAUUCUAAACACUCGAAAUGUUUUGUAAAAAAAAAAAUUAUUACAUGACUUUGUAAAUUCGAUUUAAUAUUUUUUUUCCUCAAUUUUAGACUUCUUGAAAUUGAUUUUAGACACAUAAAAUAUUGAAAAUAAUUUUCCUAAUUGAAAGAUAUAAUUUUCCUUUUCUGCACUAACUAUACUACCCAAAUUUUGAAUAGAGGGGUUGUUUGAUUGUUUUUAAAAUUGAUCUAUGUGCCUUUUGACCUUGUCUUUAUUUUUCUUAUAAAGUAGACAUUCUAAAUUUUUUUUCAUUAUUUUUAGACUUCUUGAAAUUGAUUUUGGACACAUAAAAUAUUUAAAAUACUUUUCCAAAGAUAUAAUUUUUCCUUUAUGCAUUCAUUGUACUACCCAAAUUUUGAAUAAAGGGGUUGUUUGAUUGUUUUUAAAAUUGAUCCAUGUGCCUUCUGACCUUACCUUUAUUUUUCUUGUAAAGUAGACAUUCUAAAAAUGUUUCAUGAUUUUUUAACACUUCUAUGUUAGUUUUAAAAAAUCAAUUUAUGCAUGUUAUUGAAUUUUGCCUUAGUUUGAACCUUUUAGGAUGUUUUUGUAAACUAGAAUUAAUUGGAGCUUUAUUAAAUUUUUUGGCCUUUUGGGUGAUAAUCUAGACAUAUAGAAGAGGUCCCUUGAAAAUAUUUGUAAUUAAAUCCACAUUCUAGAUAUAUUUUUUAGGAUUUAUUUUGCAAACCUUUUUGUUCUAACUACAUGCUGAAAUUUUAUACAAUGUUUAACUUAUAUUUUAAUCUGGCAUUAACUUUGACUUUUGUUCUAUAAUAUAGACAUAAUGAGGAUGUUGUGAGAUUUUUUUAAUGAUGAAAUAGUGUUUCUAGAUAUUUAGAUAGGAUUUUUCUUAUGGAUGUUAUCAUUUUAAUCCUUUGUUGUGUGGUUUUUCUUAAUCACUAAUUUUGGUAUUUUUGUUUUCACGUACACAGUUUAGCCUUAAUGAUAAGUUGUAUGCAUAACCUAUGCCAUUUAUAUUAGGGUCUUGAAUCCUAUUUAUUUGUUAUUGCAAUUGUUCUAACCCCUUCUAGCUAUGUGCAAGCACAUUGUAGGUUAUGCGUGUUAUCUAGGUCUGUCCCUUACAACCUUUAUCUCUUUAACUCUUUAAAUAUGCAAACUUUGUUUGUGAAUACUCUCGUGCUUAAUAUUAUCUUGAUUGUUCUAAUUUGUUGCUUGAUUCCUUGAACAAGAUGAAAUGCAUGUUGAGUGUUGUAUCAUUUGUUAAACUAACCUCUAAUGUUUCAUGAAAACACUUUAGGAUGCAGCUUAGGUAUGCUAAUCUUCUUUUCUUAUAUAACUAUGUUUUUGGUAUGAUUGUUUUGUUAUGAAUACCAUGUUUCUUAGCCUUAAAAAAAUCAUCUUUUCUUUUUCUUAGCAACCCUGAUCUAGUAAUUAAUUGUCAUGCUUCCUGGAACCUAGUCAAUAGAGACUUUUUUUUAAGACUUAAAGGGAUACUACCUUUUUAAGGUACCUUCUUGAUAGGUAACAUAAUCCCUAGACCUAGACUUGAUUUUUUCAAAUAUAUGCUUUCCAAAAGUUUAAGGAGUCAUUUUUCUUAGGGUUUUAGUUUAUCAUUUUAUUUCCCCUUUUAAAAAAAUUACAAAAAUAAGUGGUGACUCUAGUUUUUUUAUAAAAUAUAGUUUUUCACCUUUAAAAGUGAGUCUUGCCAACAAGUGGGGAUGCAUGUGAAAAGUGCAAGUCCACACUCAUAAGUUACAUCCUCCAAAGUACAAAGUCUUGAAGGCUCAAUAGAUGCAAACCACCUAUGUGUUGCUCCACUAAAUGACACGGGGAAUAAGGUAACUAAUUAUGCAUCAUCUAAUCCAUGUUCUCUCAUAAUUUUACUAUAGAGCCACAUGAAUCUUCAGGCAACCUACUCCAUUGUAACGCUCAAUAUCUAACAUACAAAAUUUGGCUGGUAGGCAAGUAAGCAGCUAGUAAACCAUCAUUGUCAUUCUAGGUCAUACCCUCUUCCUAUAGCAUCAUUUGUCACAUCUUGGUCUCAAGUGUCUCCAUUCUAGCUUCCUACUCCACCAAUAUUACAUCAUUCAUAACAUGAACAAUAGGAGGUGGUGCCAAAGUAGCAGGUGGUGGAAUAGUCUCAUAAUGGUUUGACAAGUGAAGUGGAGCACCAUGUGAAACCUAAGGUGGGGGAAUCUGUGGUGUUUGUGUAUAAGAAGAGUCAUCUCAACUAUAAUGCAAAUUAUACAACAAAACACAUGAAAGACACAAGAGAAGACACUAAAGAAAAUAAUACAACAAAAGGCAAACAAGAAGUACAUGGUCCUGAGAUGGCAAUGUAAAAGUUGGAUGUAUGAUAAAAAAUUUAUAGUCAUAGAGGAGUCCAUUAUGAGAUGGCUACAAAUGUGACAAGAGAAUUUUUAUCAAUAAUCCAAAAUGAAUGAGAUGUGAAAAAAGAAAUAUUAUCAUGAGAUUAAUACUCCAUCUCAAAUAAUAUGUCCUUGAAUCAACUUUUAACCCGAGCUCCAUAAAGGAAAAUGAUAAGGUGAUCAAGGUGAAAAAUGAUAAGGUGAUCAAGGUGAAUCUCUAAAAAAGGUGUAAAUGUGAAAAUAUUUCUUUCAUCUUUCUUUAAUGAACAUAAUGAGCAUAGAGGUGAAAAUGGAAUCAAGUGCAUUUAACUAGGAAUGGGGAAACAAACCCAUGAUAGGUAUAGAAUAUAAAAGGUAAGUGUGAUCAAUGAGCAUGUCUUAAAGCACCAAGCAAAGUGCAACAAUAAAUUGAUAAAGAAUGUGUUGACUUUAAAAAUAAAGAGUGAUAGAAGUCUUAAAGAAAACAUAAGCUAGACUUAGUGAACAAAAGUAAGAAGCCAACAUAAUGCAGCAAAGAGUGGGUUGACAAAUACCCAAACUUGCAUUGAUCUCUAAGCACACCAAAAAAGAUACCAAAAAAGGAGGAGUGUUGGAUCCAUGACAUGGCUAAAGUGGUACCACAAGCUUAAAUGCACCCACAUGUAGGAAGGAAUCCUAAUCAAAGGAUCUAAAGCUCAACCUACAAGGUUAAGGUGGCUUUAAAAUACGGUAGGCUAAAAAAAGAGUCCUUAGUAGAAGUAAUCAUACCCUCCCUUAGUGCUAACCUCCUACACACCUUCGAAAAGAUGGUGUGCGUCCAUGCAAGGUGGUCAUUAUCUCCACACAUGCACUACCUCACAUCCUAAGGGGCUUCCUAAUGGUUAAGACUCUACUAUUGGUUAGCACAUCUCACAACUUUCAACAAUCAACAAUGAUCUAAAGUGCACACUGGUCACACAAAUAUCCUAAAUCUAUCUCUAGGCUAUACAAGUCUUCAAAGAUCAGACUCCAAGCAACAUCAAUGUGACGACCUUUUUCAUAAUGCUCCCAAAUAUACAUAUAGCACAUCAUUAGACCCUACUAAUCACUAGCUUGAUUGGAAAACAAACAAACAUAAAAACCUCACAUAAAACAAUUGUGAGAGUAAUGAAAGAAGGAAUCAACCAAGACUAAGGAGUCAUAAAUAGGGGGAUAAAUGUGUGUUCCACUUGAAUAAGAAAAACAUAGAUCAUGCAAAAGCAAGACAGUCAUGUAACAAAUAGUCUUGUAAAGCAAAUAAAUCAUCCUUAUCUACACAUAAACUAAACAUGGAUAAGAUGAACAAGAUGAAUAUACAACAAGAAUAAUCAUGCCAAGAUGAGUGAGUUAGAACAAGGAUAAUCAAUAAUGUGAAGAUGACAAGAUAAGUGUACAACAAUGGUAAGAUGGGUAGGAUAACAAUGCAAUAAGAAUAAUGAACAUGCCAAGAUAAAUAAGACAUGUAUAUAAUAGAAAGAAACAAGUGAAAGCUCUUAAAUGAAUAAAAUACACAAGCAUGCAACAUAGAUAAUCACCAUGGAAAAGCUCUCAAUGUGCUAAUAACACAAGCAUACAAUACCAAAGCACAAAAAAAGGGUAUCCACUGAUCAACUAAUCAAACACCAUAUUUCUCUUAACUAGAGCUCUGACUUGACCCUCUUUAUUCCCUAGUGGAGUCGCCAUUUUAUGGACCCACAUUUUUCAUUUGCAUCCCCACUCAAUGGUGAAACUCGUUUUAUUAUUGUGAAAACUUGAUUUUUGAAAAAAAUUAGAGUUACAACAUUUUUUUAUUUUUUUUAUUUUUUAAAGGAAAAGAAAUAAAACCCUAACCGACUCCUUUUGAAAGGAAAAUCAUGUCUACAAAAAAUUGAAUUCAAGUAUGGGAGUCAAGUUACUUAUUGGGAAGGUACCAUAGGGUAGCACCUCUCUAAGCCUUAAAGAGGUAUUUACUAAACAAGUGGAGGGAGAUAAGGUAAUUGACAAAUAGACUAAUAGACUAAUAGAUAUUGAGAGACAACAAGAACAACAUACACCAAGGCAAUGACAAUAAUAGAUAAAAGGAUAGAACAACCAAAACAAGGCAUGAAUAUGAAACUAAUAAAUCAAGAAAGGAAGGAAACAUACUUCAAGAAGUGCGUAAAAUAGGGCAAUAUACUUACAUAGAAAAGAGGGUUCACUCACAAAAAAGAUAAGAGAUAUAAAAUCAAAAUAAGACUAUCAAUCAUGUACAAUAUAUAUAUAUAUAUACACAAUUAAAACUGAGAAGCAAGUGAUGCUUAAACAUAGAUCAAGGUGAACUAAAAUAUGCUAAACAUGUAUAGGUUUCAAAACUGGCAACCUCAAAAUAAAUGCCAAUAAAAUAGUAAAAGGGGAUAUAUCAUACAAAGGUGUGUUGAUCUAACAUGUACAAGAUGUCUAUUAUACAAAUUAAUGAUCAAAGAAGAUAAAAAACAUGCAGAAAGGAAUUGAAAUAAAACAAAUGUACAAAGUAUAGAACAAGAGGAUAGAACAUAGGUGCUUACAAAAUAAAUCAAAAAUAAAUAAUUAGAAAGAGGAUAAAAUCAUAAAAAAAAAUUGCACAACAUCCCUAGAGUGAAAACAAUAUAAUCCAAAAUUCCAUAGAGCCUAAUUAUACAACAAUUGUCUUAGAUUUAUAUGAAAAAAAAAUCAUAAUUGUAGAUUCAAAUAAGCACAACAAGCACAACAAGAUUAAAUUAAAUCUCAAGCUUGAGAAUUGAUUUUGGAGUGAAAACAAAGCUUAAUGGAUUAUUUAAGAAAUCUAGUAUAUUGGAAAAACAUAAAAGACAAUUUGAAAACCCAUGAGCUAAUUUAGAUUUACAAAAAUACUUCGGGUGUCAACAAUAGGGCAAAAUCUAGACCUUUUGAAAAACUAAUUUAAUAUAUAAGUUUGGAGAAGGAUUUUCGAUCAAAAAUAAAAAAUUGUUUGACACAUUUAAUAAUUUCAAAACAUCAUCCAGUCAUAGAAAAUAUUUUAGGGAAAACCAAAAUGGUCCAAAUUAAAUUAAACAUUUUAGGAGUCUAAAAUAGGGUAAUUGGUGGGUGGUUUUUAAGAAUCCAAAAGUAUAGGCCCUUUCCAAUACACAAAUUAAUUUUCAUGAAUUAAUCUACAUCUCUUACUCAUUGAUCAUCAUGAAGAGAAGCUUAUGAAUCCUAGAGGGUAUUAUAUUUAUUUUAGAAUUGUGAAAUUUAUCCAUGUUUACAAAAUUAAGAAAAUCUGAAAAUCAUUUGUUUAAAAAUGAGUGAUUUAGGUCAAAGAAAUGUGUCAUGGAUUAGUCCAUAGGGUGAACAUUCCUUCCUAACCCUUAAAUGAGUGUGAAAUCAGACCCAAAAAAGGCAUGGAGGGCCAAGGAACACUCAUGUAUGGAAAGGAAGGUUGGAUUUCACAAAGAAAUGGCCAUGGAUGUGGGUAUUCUUAUGUGAAAUCAUCCAUUAUGUGUGCUGAAAGAAUAAAAAUUAUUAACUAGAUGAAAAACAAUUUUCUUUGGCCUUAGACAACCAUGGGAAAGGUUUAUAGGUGUUGAGAAAGGCCUACGUAGAAAACCAUGUGAAAAUCCAUUUGAAAUUCAUGUAAAAAACACACAUUGCACACUUAAAAGGAGAGGAGUGUGUGUGUUGGAGAUCACAUAUUAAAACGAAAGGCUUUUUAGUAAGAAACAUAUGCAAUUUUCAAAUUUCACACUUAAAAGGUGUGCCCUUUAAGGAUUACAUAAAGAAAGAAUUACACUAGAAUUAGCACACUGAAAGGACACGCACAAUACUCAAAUUGCACAUUGAAGAGAAUACGUAAAACCAGAUUGUGCAUUGAAGGAAACACAUACUAGAAAUAACGCAUUGAAUGGUUACGUCCAAUACUCAAAUUGCGCAUUGAAGAGAAUGUGUAAAAUAAGAUUGUGUAUUGAUUACUACUCAAAAAGUGUUAUUUUGUAGCUUGUAAUUAACUCUUUUAAACACUUUUGAGUAGUAGUUAUUACCUUUUAACUCAAUUAACAUAUUAAGUACCUUUGCAAUCGUUUCUAAUCAAAUUGUGUUAAGUUUUGGUGUUUUUGAUAGUAAUUUGAUCACCAAAGCAAUCCAAGAUUGAGGAGAGUUCUAUGGAAUCCAUGGUAAAGCAAUUGGAAGCUCAUUUACAUGAAGAACCCAAGCUUUGAAGCUUUAUAGUCCUUUUCCAUAAGCAAAUCAUGAAUGCAAGGAGGGAAAGCAAAGAGAGAAAUCUAACAUGAAGAAUUCAAGAGGAAAGCAACUUUUGGAGCACUUCUUGGAGCUCAUUUCAUGCAUACUAAAUGUCAUUUCAAAGCUCGGGAAGUCAGCAAUCAAACGCUUCAAAUGGUACGCAAAUCAAAGUUGAAAUGAAGAAGUUAGAGCCAUUGGAAGCCAAUCACACCAAGCUAAAGGCCAAUUUCGCAGGCUGCGAAAUUACAAGGUGAUGGCUGCGAAAUCACAAGGUGAUGGCUGCGAAAUUAGCCUUUGGCUGCGAAAUGGAGACCUUCAGCUUGCGAAAUUUCGCAGCCAUCUUGCAUGCCUGCGAAAUCCUCUUGAGUGCUUCCAGAUAUUUGCGACCGACACUUUUAGAUUUUUUUCUUCAGAUAUUUGAUGUUUAAAUCCCCAUUUUCUCCUUGUAAUCAACCAAUCAUAGGAUUCCUUAGUUAUUAAGUAAGAACAAAGGGUGAAUAACCUCAUAUAUAUUUUUUGUAAUUUUCAUUACACACAUAUCUCGGGAGCUUGUUCUCAGAGACAAUUUUUUGUAUAGUUUUGAAGGAAGUAAAAUGUAGAGCUUUGCUCUACCUUACUUACUCAAUUUGAUUGUAUUUUUCUUACUAUCCAAACAAGCUCUGAGGAUGUUUCCUCAAAGAAUGAGUGGCUAGACUUUUUGUCUCUUGGAGCUAAGGUGGCUGGGUAAGGUCCCGAGUGCAAGAAUUGGUAGUUUUGUUGUUUCAGCUGUUAAUGAAGAGAAAGUGUGACCCGUUAAUGGUUUCUAUGUUUUUAGUUAACUUAAAACACCUUUAACUCACCUGGGCCAACACUUGGUAAGGCAAGUGAUCUUCGUUCAUUGAGAUGCACUAGUUUACCUCUUGCGAGCUUUUGGGAGGUGACUUGAAGGUAUGAUUUUCUAGAAUUGCCAACACUUGGUAAGAUUUUGGACUCUAAGGAGACAUCCAUUAGUUAUCUCUUGCGAGCUUGAGAAGGGAAGUCCAAGGUUAAUGAUCACCUUGAAUGGUAAAUGCUAGGUGAGAGGCACGAGCCAUUGCAAGUUACAUCAGUGAGAGAGAUUUAGCAUUUGAACUCAUUAAAGGGAAGUAUCUGUACCACACCGAUUAGAGAAUUAACUAUAUGUUAAUUCUCUAAUACGAGGAAAAGAUUCAAGUGACCGGAACUCUUUUUUUGCAUAAGGAGCCUGACCCCAGUGAUCCUAAAACUCUAAGAAACGCUUUUCUUUAUAAGUAAUUCCCAAUAUUUUAUUUUAUUUAGCUUAAAACCAAUCCUUUUUAAACCAAAGUUUAUGUUUUCUUUUGAAGCUAACCUUGAAAUGAAAAACCAUCAAUUCAACUUUGAAUUAGUAUCGGUUGUAAGUUAAAAACCCUUCCCAGUGAACGAUCCUGAGCCACUAUGCUAUAUUAGCUAAGGCUAUCCUAGUGCAUGGUGAAAUAGGUUAUAAAUUUUGUUGAUUACUCCUGUCUGAGGGCCAAACUCAAGGUACACCAGCUAGGCACGCAAUCAUGUAUAAAAGAGAAUGCAUAAAAGUAAGAUUGCACACUGAAAGGAACUAUGCAAAAUUAGAUUGUGCACUGAAGGGGGACUACACAUAAAGAGAGACUAGAAUUCACUAGUGUACAUUGAAAAAAUGGAAGAAAAUCAAAUUGUGUACUAAAGGGGUGCGCAAUUUGAAAUUGCAUACUUAAAGAGAACGUAAGAAGGCACUGAAUAAAGGAAUGCACAAUCUAAAACUACUCACUUAAAAGUGCACGGGAUACAAGUGCCAAAAAAAAAGGCACGCUUAAACAAUUGCUCAACUCAAACUAGCACACCUAAGAAGUGCACAAUUUGAAAUUGAAGGUUGGCCAUGAACAAGAAAACACGUGCACAAACUGAGUGACUCUUAGCACAUAAUGAAGGUGUGCAAUCUAGAUGAAAAACAUCAAAAAGCACACCAAAAUGCACAAUCUAAAGGCAAACACCAUAAUGUGCAUUGGAAGAUGCACAAACUAAGAAUAAGAACAUUAUAGCACACUAGCAAGUGUGCAAACUGAACGAAAAACACUCCAAUGCACAUUAAUUGGCAUGUAGACUGGAUAAAAGCCUUUGAAUGAUGCUUGAAAAACAAGUUUGAAGAAGAAUUUUAAAAUCAAAUUUGUAAAGAAAAUCAAAAUUAAAACCAUAUCGAAAUUUGUUAGGAACUCUGAAUUACUCCAUUCCCAUGCCCUAAAUCGUGUAGGGUGCAUGCAAAUCUAUCAUAGUCUCUCUAAAUGUAUUGUAAUAGAUAAAAAAAAUAUUCAAAAACAAUAUGGAUACCAUAGAAAACAUAGAUCUAGAGAAUAAAGUCAUAUACCUUUGAUUCGGAUGUUCCCGGAUCAAUUCCAAUCGAUGUAGAUAACACCAAAGUCAUAAUGGAUCUCAUAAACACCAUGAUCUUCUGCCCAAUGACUCUUCCUUGUGCCUAGGCACUAAGAUGGUGGAGACUAGGGUUCUCUCUCUAGACUGAUGGAGAGAAUGAAAAGACUUGGAAACCCUAACCCCUAAAAGGGUAUUUAUAGGCUUCUUAUUGGGCUUAAGAGACUUAAGCCCACCAUAGGCUUGGGUCACUUAAUCUAUCCUAAAAAUGUUGUUAAUUGAUUAAUUAACCAUACCAGGCCAUAAUUAAUCAAUUAGCCUAAUCUAGGCAUACCACUCACUUAUCCUCAUGCAACCUUGCAUAAUUACCAAAAUACCCUUAUGCACAAAAGUGAACUAAGAACCCAUCCAACCCUCAUAAACUGUGUCAUCAAGGAAUAUGAGCUCAAAUUGAGGACCACUAGGACCCAUAGGAGUAUUGGCUUCCUCGAAAUCAAAUUUUGAAAUGGACUCAACAUCCUACUACAAAAAGCCAAGUACACUCCAACACCCUAUGUAUAUUACAACGAGACACCAUGUGCUCAAGUCUAUGACCUACUAUCUACUACAUGCAGACUUCCCAUGAACCGGUGUUUGUAAUCUAAUAAGGUAGUGCUAUCACCUAUCAAGAUUACCUUUCCAAUCCUUAAGUUGGAUAUCUCACUUAUUAUGUGAUCAAUUGACAUACUCCAACUCCAAGGAGCAUAUGUCAAAUUCCACUAAAUGAAUUAUUAUGGCCAUAGAUUUCGUGAUCAUAUGUCCUUUGGAUCACUCAAGGGGACACACUGUCUCAAUCUUAUGAGAUAUCAUGCUGCCUCUAUUGAGAAUACCUGUUGCCACUAGCUUCCAUCAACAAGAACCCAGUCCAUAGGGAUAUAUGACCACUUUAGGGUCUCACCCAUAGGUUAAAGUCUUCUGUUGAUUUUGGCAUAAGCUCAAUAUCCUUUCAAGGUUAAGAGUCCAUGCACUAUAGUAGCAUGGUGAAUCAUGACAAUUGAUAACCUUGCAUCAUGAUUCACCGUAGGUCCUGUCUAGUGUGCAUCACAUACACUAGUGCACUCACCAUGGAAAGCAUAUCCCAAUGGCCAAGAUAAGCCAUCCCUCAAAUUAGGAGGUGGUGCACUACAGUCUUUACUGGAUUGCCCAAAUCCAUGGACCAACUAUGGACAGUUAUCUACUUACAAGGAACCCAUGACUUGUAUCUUUUGUGAAAUUCCUAAUGCACCCAAGUCAUUUACAAAGAAAAAGAUGUGGACUAAAUGCUCAAAUCAAUGUCAACACACCAACGGGAUAGUAAGGGGAUAGUUAAGUUUAACUUUGCUACAUGAUGUCUUAUUUUUAGGGGCUUAAUCGCAACAAAGUCACCAAAAUGAGAUUAAAGAAAAACAAAAUAGAAAACUAAAUCAAGCAAAGCCUUAUUUCAUAAAUCAUCAAUGGACUUGACAACAAGUGAAAAAUCCAAAAGAAUUUUAAACCAAGUCGAAAAAAACUUCUAGACCAUUACACAAUAAAGUGAAUCAUUAAUUAAAACAAUUUUUAAGUAAUCUCAUUGAAUCCAAAGAUGAACAACAAAAGAAAAAAACAUGUAUUACAAAUAAGAAUCAACAAUCUAAUGUGUGACCUCCAAUAUCCACACCCAACCAACAAACAAUCUCUAGAAUCAGCAUAAGGAAGGAGAAGAACAACAAAUGAUAAUGAAAACAUGAAAUCAAAGUGAUCUUACCAAGAAUUCUCUCCUUAAGCAAGUGUUGAUCAGCUUCUAGUAUUUUUUUUUUCUUAUCCUUUAAGCAAGAAGAUCUUCUAAAUUCAUUAAAGUUCUUUCUCCAUAUAAAAAGAAAAUGGUAGAGUAUUCCUCCCAAAUGUAAGAGAGUCCCCUUCCAUUUAUCCUUCCAUAAUCUUCUUUCUUGCCAAAUGAGUCUUCCAAGACUUCUUUUAUAGAGUAAGGGAUAGGGAAGGUUUGGCCACUUGUGCUCAUCUCCUUCUAUGGUCACACUCUUUUAAAACCCCUAAAAAAUACUUCCCUAAAUCAAUCUCAAACUCCUCUAAAAAGUAAAGCAAAAACUUGAGACUAAAGCCCACAAAAAAAAAAAAAAAAAAAAACACAUAAACCAAGCCUAGGGGCUACUAAAAUCUCAUUGCGAAUUUAGAAACUCCUUCUAAAAGGCCUUAAAAAGUCCCAAGAGUCAGUGACAAACUAAAUGGUGGGUGAACCACACCACAGGGCGCAAUGAAUGACUAAAUAAAAGAGAAUCCUAAGCGCAUACUAGAAGGGAGUGGAAGACGGGGGAAACAAGUAUGAAAUAACAUGUGCUAUGAGGACAAAAUUGAGGGUCUACAACCAAAAGUAGACUAGCAUUACAAAAAGAAUCAACUUAAUUGGUUGGGAAUAGGUUCAACUAGUCACCCUUUCCUAGUCGCGGUCCAAUCUAGUUUGCAUAAAACUUUAUUAUUAUUUUUUAGAUAUCAUGUGUUCUCGGUUAAGGCAAACCCAUACCUAGUCAAGGCCUAAUCGAACCUCAAAAAGAACAAAAGUCACUUGUUAUAAAUUUAUUACCUAACGACUAGUUAACCGAUAAAAAAGAAGCUCAACUAAGAAAGGUUAGCUUUCUGCUUUUUGGGUGUUUGAGGUUGAAAACCUAUAAAAAAAGAGCUUUCAUUCAUUUGUACCAAGAUAAUUAUUGCAUUGAAUUCCCUAUCUACCAUUUUCUUUCAUUCAAAGUUCUCAACUCCUUAUGCAUUAUUCUUUCACUUGCAAAUCAUCCUUAGUGCAGCUUCUAUGUUCAUCCUAACUUUUUGUGUAUUCAAGCAUUUAUUGUGCUAGAUGGAGUGUUAUUAAACCUUCAUAUAUUUGAGUAAGGUUGACCAUUGAAGUUUCAAGUUGGUGUUAAACUGAAGGAGAUUUGUGUACAUGCCCAUUAGAACCCUCACUUGGAAAGGGGUUGAGGAGAAGUGAAUUGAAGCGAAAAUUGCCUAAUAACUAUAAAAGCUGAGUUUGUAUCACUUUAACUCUAUCUUCUUCCAUUCAUUGAACUAUUAUUUGUGUAAUUAAAGGUUUUCUUUCUUUAAUGUUUUUUAAACCCAAUUUGCCUCACCCGCCCCCCCUUCUCUUGGGUAUUUUACUUAAUUGUUUCAUAGAAUGCCCUUGAAAAUGCCUAGAACAAGGGCAACAAGCUUACAUAAGAAAAAAUUAAUUAAUUUAUUAAUAAAAGAAGAUAUUUAUCAUGAAAUCAAGGAUCGCCCAACAUGUACAAGAAGUUUGUAACUUAAAUCAAAUGUCAAAAGUAGCUUAGCUAGCAUCAAAUGGGACUAAUUCAACAAGAUAUACAAAGUGUGAAAAACCAAGACAACAUGCUAAUGUGUGAAAGCUUGUAUUUAAGAAGAUUCAAGAUGAAAUAAAAAUCAAGGCAAAAAUUAUCUAACAUAUAAAAGAUUGUUAGGACAUUGAGUCUUGUUUAUAUGUUAGCAAUUUUGAAUAAAUUUAUGUUUAACCAUGGAAGUUUUUUUAAAUAGUGACUUACUUUCCAUUGAAAAUCAAGGGUUGUUAUUCGUUCAACUUGGAAGUCACAGGUAUGUCUAAAAAGGUUUGGCUUGUGGCAUAUAAAGGCUUAUUUGAGGUAUAAAAUGCUCAGUAUCAUUUUUUAGCUUAAAAUGUUUUAAAAUUGAUUUCUCAAAAAACAAGGGACACUCAAGCAGUUCAUCCCACUCAAGUGGUUAGAGCGUUGAAGCGGUCUAAGUUUGCUCAAACAGUCAUGAUAGUCCCACCAAGUUUAGAAACAUAUUUUGAAUGAAUUUCAAUCCAACUGUAAUUUGGAAACUUGUGAUAGUAAAAUCCUUAUGGCUUUUGCCUAUAAAUACCAGCCUUGUAACCCUUUGAGGGUUAGAGAAUCAGGUUAAGAGAUUAGAGAUUGUAGAGAUCUAAUUUUUAGAGACCUCUCAUUCUUUAGAGGUACUCUUUGAGAGGAAAGAAUAAUUAACCUAAUAUCUUGCAAGGCUAUUCUAAAAGGUUUAUAUUUAUAUUUGUUCCUGCAUAUAUUCUGGUUGAAGAUAGUGAAUAAAUUUGAUUGAUUGGUUAAUUGGUUAUUAAGUUUGUUGAUUUGGUAAUCUUGUGGUGGUUAUACCUAGAAUCAAUUAUUGAUUUGUUGGGAUUAUUUUUGAGUUUGUUAGGUUGGUUAUUCUUGUGGUUAUUAUCCCUAACAUUCUUCAACCAAUAUUGUUAAUAUUUGGAUAUCAAUUAACCAUAAAAAUCAUAUUUUUAUUUUUAAUAUCCAAGUUAUCCUUAUAAUAUCUUGGAUAAGAAAAGCGAUCAUAAUUUACAAAUAUUGAUUUAAAAAUUUAAAAUCACUCAUUCAUCUCUCCUUUAGGUGUUCCUUAUUGGACUUUUGAUUAUUCAAAGUGUAUUCAGAGCAAUACCCAUAUUUUUUCAAAGAUGUCUUAAAAAAUUUCAAAAGUCAAAGGAACCCAAAUAAACACUAACUAAUACAAAUUUCAAUAAACAUUUCAUAACUCAAAAAUAGGACAAUAUACAAACACAUAAAAGAUUGAUUUAUUCCAUAAGCAUAACAAAUAAUUUUUUAACAAGGCCAAAUGUCUAGAUAAAAUUACAAGUCUUAAAAAAAAAAAAAAAAUGAAUGAAUUGGGAUUGAUUCACAAAAGCAUUUAGUUGCUCCAAAAUAGGGCAACAAACAAGCAAUUGAGAGAAAUGAAUUAUUUAAAAAGCUUGGGAAAGAGUUUUCCAAUAAGGCAAAAAAUCUUUAACACAUUCAAGAUUUCAAAAUCCAUUUGAAGCUUCAAAAAUAAUUUAGAGCAUGUCAAAUGGCCUAGAUUUACAAAUAUAUUUUGGGACUAAAAAAUAGGGCAACAAGUAAUCGACACUUACAAACAAUAUAUGCAAGCUUAAACAUAAACCUAAAUUUUUAUGCAUAGACAAUCCAACAUUUCAACCCCUUAAUAAGCAUGACAAGAGCUUAUAAGGGCUAAUAAUAAUCUUAUUCAUCUUAGGUUUCAUGGAUAGUUCAUGUCUCCAAAAUAAAGAAAAAUUGAAAAUCAAAUGUUUAGAAAAUUGAGUGAUGUUGGCCAAGGGCAUAGGUCAUAGUUCAACUAUAAGGCUCUCUCACAUUCUCAGCCCCCAAAUGAACAUGAAAUUAAGUUCAUAAAAGGCAUGGAAUGCCAAAUUAUACUCAGAUUUGGAAAAAAAAAAAUUGUUGAAAUGCACAUAAAAGUAGAUUAUAAGGGUAUGUGUUUUCAUGUAAAUUCAAGUUAUUUAUGUCAAGGAACGUGGCUGUCAUUAAUAACCAUAAAUUAGCCACAAAUUCAAGUCCCUAAUGAUCAUAGAAGUAUAUUCACAAGGGUUGAAAAAUGACUUUCAGUGCUCCACAAUAGUUCCUUGGUGGCCCAUUGCUACUCACACUAUUUACCUUUUUUUUAGCCACCUUAGAGACUCUGGUUGAGGGAUUUAUCUAACCCCAUUGUGACUUUUAGCAACCCUAAUUUAGACUUAGGCUUUUCCUUCCUUUUUAGGAUAGCUUUUAGGUGCACUAUUAAGAUAGUACACUUAGGCAUGUUUAGGUCACUUAGACAAUGUCCUGAUCACUAUAGGUCACUUAGACACUAUCCUAAACCACCUAGGCCCAUUAAGACACAUUAGGCUUACCUAGGUCACUUAGGCUCACUUAGGCACACUUGGCCCAUUAGACAUUUUUAGCAUGACUUGUAUGAGUUGCAUGGUUGCAUGGCUUGUGUGGCUCAGUUAUUUAUUUAUUUAUUUUUAUUUUUAUUUUUAUUUUUAUUUUUAUUUUUAUCAUUAUCAAUCACUUGUUUAUUUUUAUUUGUUAACUUCCUUUUUAUAUUAUUUUUCUUAUUUUUUUAAUUAACUUAUUUAUUUAUUAUUGUUUUAUCGUUUUCUAACUUAUUUACUUAUUUAUUCAUUCAUUCAAUUAUUUAAUUUAAUAAAUUUCAUGCUUUUGCAAGGAAACUUACCAUUGGAGUUUAAGAAAUGUGGGACUCUCCUUGGAAGACGUUUUAGGGGAGUUUUAAAUUUUGAGGAUUUGUUUUGGUGCGGAAGAUAUGGAGAUGGCAUGGGAGUCUAAGGAAAGUGAGACUCUCCUUGGAAGGCAUUUUUGGAAAGUUUGAAAUUCUAAGGAUUUGUUUUGGUAAGGAAGAUAUGGAUAUCGGGAGUUUAAUUAGACUCCUUGAGAAUAAUUGAGAGUCCACAACUACAUGUAUUUUUUAAUAUAAAAAGGAGAAUUUGAACUGAAAUGGGAUUUUUGGAUGGGAAGAUUGGAAAAAAAAGAAAAGAAAAACGGGAGACUAUUAUUGGAGAAUGGAUUCACGGAUGAGAGGAAUUCUUUUAGACAUCAUGUCAUUAAUGGAAUUAUGUGCGCCGCCUUCAAAAGGGAGAACCACCCUUGGAAAGGAGAGGUUGCCACUUAAAAUCCACAAGACGUUUACAUUGAAGGAACACGUACAGCCCACAUAAAAGAACACGCACCAUAAGUUUACAAAAUCGACCACACUGCCAAAUUUUUGGAGCAAACAACCAGCAGGCAUUCUGGACAUGUUCCAUGGAGAUUGGGGAAGAAACAGCUGCACCAUCAAUAUAGAGAAGAGGGCUACCACUUUGAGUCUUCAUUACGCAUCAGAUUUUGAUCCAAAGAGAAUCAUUCACAACCCGGAAAGAAUAUACGGACACAUGAUAUGUGUGGGAUUUUCCAUAGGUUGCAGGCACCAUCUUGGGGAGAGCUUUUUUUCUGGAGAGAACAUGCCUACAUAGCCCAUGCACAGCCUGCACCUCUUCACAACUGUCAUCCAUGAUCAAAGUCACAGCCGGCUCCAAGCACCAUUGCUCCAUACAGACGCAGCCGUCAUGCUCCGUCCAUUGAGUGGCGAUCACUCCACCACGCACCAUGAGAGGCAUCAAUUGAUGGGGCAUCAAAGCUGAUCCCUUAGGAGUCACUAGAUUUUAUUAAGACUUUGUUGGCUGCGGUUUUGGAGAUCACAUAGCUGCAUAUUUAGAAGAUGCAACAGACUGCCGUGGCAAGACGCAUAGGAAGGAAAGGUGAUGUCCAGAGAAUGAGGAGAAUAAUCACACUACCAACAAUGCAUUACUGUCAUUUGGUGCAUUCCUCGAACCCAAAACCCUCUCUCAAUUCCAAACGCGUUUGGGAUUCACUGUUUCUGCAAGUCUCGAUGCAUUUCGGUUUAUUAAAGGUCAUCCUUCCGUCCAAUUGCACCCCGAGAUUGACCGACAGUGGAGUGCACGUUUUGGAGCCCUUGUAAUCAGAAGAUAGAUGGGACCCCUGCCACUUAAUGAUGACGCACUCCGGAUUGGACCCCAAGCCCACUCUCGCAUGGCUUGCAUGGCCACCCCUUUUGUACAUUAUUUUAAAGCCCGCAUGACUCAGUCCUUAAUUCUUCUUGCAUGUUUUCCAAAAUGGAUUUUCAAAGAUCCAUUCUUUUUCAAUUUUCUGGUGAAAUAUUAGACAGUUGUAGUGAGGACUAUCUCCCAAAUUUUUACCAAGUUAGUGAAAGAUCUCCUGGAAAUGAUUGUAUACCAGUCGGCCGGGUUGGAAUUUUUGAAUUCAUCUAGACAGUACAAACUGAUUCUGGCUAGCCCAUGCAGCCUUUUGAGUUUGUGGAAAUGGCAGCGUACAUGAAGAACAGAUGGCAACAUGCUUGCCUCUCGCAUUGAAGCUUUCACCAUCUAUUGCAGCGACGGAGCACAUAUCCUCAAAGCAUUCACUUGGGAAAAGCUAUUGGAUUCCAUAAUCCCUCUAGAUCGUUCUCUCUUCUAGCCGACUUUAGCCAGAACCAAAUGCAAUCUGGUUAUCUUUUCCAGAGCCAUCAUGAGGGAACUGGCUUCAGAGUUUCUGGAACUCUUCAUCCCUCACCGGAAAUCACCAAAACUUUGAACAACAGGGAGUCCCGGAAAGUGCCAAAAGAGAGCAGAAUGUAGUUAGGAAUUCAACACCAGCAAGACAGUCUCAGUCAGGUCUCCAGGCUCCACCCAUACAGUUGCCAACUUGGUGCACACCAUCCUCCUCUUAUUACUUCUUUUCUUUCCUGUGAACUUACACAUUUUUAAUCUGGAUUUCAAAAUCUUUCCCAUUAAAUAACUCCAGUUUUCUUUAAAAUUCCAUCCGUAGGAGUUCAUAGAUAUUGAAAUCCAGAUUUCAACAAAUCAUUGUUGCCACCUUCCUUCAAGCAUGCAUUUUCACUAUUUUCUUUGAUUUUUAAUUAUUUUCAUAAUUUUGUUGAUUUUUAACCAGCAUGAACAAACUUCAUGGUGCCAAAUAAUGGAAUUCAUUGAACCAACUCAUGCAAAAUUAAUUUGGGGAAUUGGUGGAACCCCUACAUAAAAUCAAUUUUUUCAAAACUCUUCCUUGCUGCAUGUUUUCACUCAACCACUGACCCUUUAUCUUUAAAAUUCGUUUUAGCAACUUCAGAAUAUUUUUAAAAAAUUUAUAAAACUUGUAUGAUUUUCUUCACUUCUUGAACUUGAAUUUAAAAUUUUGUUUGAGUUAGAAAGCAAUUUUGGAAUAGAAUAUAUAAAUGAGUUUUUAGGAGAGCUCUGUUUUCACCCAAUUCUGGACACAUGAAAUAUUUUUGUAACAAUAAAAUAAUAGAUGAAUUUUUAAAUUUGAUUCAAUAUUUUUUCUUAAUUCUAGAAUUCCUUAAAUUGAUCUCAGGCAUAUAAAAUAUUAAAAAAUAUGCAUUUUUGGGACAGAUAUGAUUUUUCAAAAUCAUACCUACUAUGCAUGAUGGAAUUUAGACAUCUGAUUAGUUAGAGUGUUUUAAAAAUAUUUUUAAGUACUCCCCGACCCUGGAUUUAUUUUUCCUAUGAUAUAGACACUUUGAACGAUGUGUGUGAUUUUUUGUACAACUUUAUGUCAUCUCUUAUUAUUUUUAAGAAUUUUUUUUAUGCAUGCUACCCUUUUUUUACCUAAUAUGGACUUUGUAGAAAUUUUGGGGUGUCUUUGCUGCAAUUUGUCCUUUGAAUGAGUGUUCGGUUUUUAGUAUGUUGAUUUAGAUUUGUAGGAUUUGUUUCCUGAAAUUUUUUGUAAUUAAAUUCCACUCCAAGAUAUUUUUUUAUAAAUUGUUUUGUGAUGCUCCCUUUUCUAAUUGCAUGAUGAUGACCUUGUACUUUGCUUGAAUUUGUUAUCUGUUUUUGGAGUUAUUUGACUUAUCUUGGCUCAAUUUUGACUUUGAUACUGUAUAUUAGACAUAAUGAAUAUGUUAUAGGAUUUAUACUUGUCCUAACCACUCUAGCAAUUUUGGGGAAUCUUAUAAAUUAUGCAUGCUAUCCAGGUACACUCUCUAUCACUUACUUUUCGGAAUUUUAUGAACAUGCAUGUUGUUGUGAGCCUUAUCCAUGUUUGAUUCCAUCUUUAGGUGCCUAGAUGUCUGUUCGAUUGGCUCUGAUUAAAUACAUGUCGUGUAUUAUAUUUUUGUGCUAACUUUAAUGUCUUAUGAUAGCGCUUGAGAGGCAGUCCAAGUACAUAUCCUAACAUUUCUUUGUGAUUGUGAUUUGAUCUCUUUUUUGGCAUGCUAGUUUUGAAAUCACCUUAGUCUACUAGGUACCUUCAAUCAAUUGAUUAAUUGCCACUUUUCCCUCAACUUAGUCAUUAUAGACCUCUUUAGGGCUUAGAGGGGUGCUACCUCUUAGAGGUACCUUCCCAAUAGGUAACCUGAUCCUCGGACCAAGACUCGGGUUUUUCAAGCCUUGUUUUCCAAAAACUAUUGAGUCACUUCUUUAGGGUUUUCUUUCUUGUUUUAUUUUCCAUUUUAAAAUAAAAUAAAAUAAGUGGCGACUCCAACUUUUCCAAAACUAAUUUUUCACCAAUAAAAAUAAGUCUCACUGAUUGAGUGAGAACACACAUGAAAAAUGCGGGUCCACAAAUUGGUUUUAAAAAUACUUGAAAAAUUAUAAAAUUGAGAGAAACUACUUAUAUUUUCAAGCAAAAUAGUAAGACUAAAGUCCAUGUCUAUGGACCUAAACUUUGGCCAUGAGAUUGACCAUCAAGGUGAGUUUGAAAUUCCAUUAAAAAAAUUAUUGAAAUAAGAGUUAAUAAUCAAUUUUGAGAAGAAAACAAAAAACCAAAAGCAACUUUAUAGAUUUUUUUCUAGGAAGAAAAUAUUUUGGCAAAACAUCAAACACAUGUGGUUCUCUAUUUUUCUUUUCAAAAUUAGUAAAAACUACUUCCAAAAGUAUUAAAACAAAGGAAAAUCAAAAUCCCCAAAGGAUGAACAAAAGAAAACCCAUAGGUUACAAAGUAAGACACCCAUAUCAUGUUCUGAAAAUCAAUAAGCUCCAAAAAGAAAAUAUGCCCAAGAAAUGAAUAAAUUAAAGCUAGUCAAGGUAUAAAGAAUAUCCAAACAUCAAUUAAAGUAAAUAAACAAGCAUCUAAUAAGCAUCUAGACUAAAAAAAAAAUGAAGAAAAUCAUAUUAGACACAAAAAAUGAAGAAAAAAAUACCCAAAAUCAUUCAUAUGAUCUUCCAAUAUUCACAACCCAUAUGACCAUCAUCUAAAGAAUCAAUAAAAAAAUAAAAUAAAAACUAAAACAAAAAAAAAAAUCAAAAUUAAGAACUUACGAAAGAAACUCCUCCUAAGUCUAAUACUUGGCUUCUAGUAUGGAUAAAUCUUCUUCCCCAAGCCAAUUUCACCUCCAAACUUCCAAUAUUAUUUUUUACCUUUUUUAUUUUUUAUUUUCUCAAAUUAGAUAGAGUUUUCCCUUAGAUAUCAAAGAUAUACCCUAAAAGUGUGCUCCAAGGCUCAUAUUUAUAAGUUAAGGGAGGGUAGAGAUUUUAACUCAUGUCAUCAUCUCCACUAAAACCAUGAAAGAUUUUUUUUUUUUUUUUGGAGAAACUUAUAUUUUAUUGCUCUAAUCUUUAGAACAUGGGCUACAUCUAUUUAAAUAACUAGCAAUUAGAUAAUUCCUAUGCUAAAAACAAGGACACAGAAAAAUAAAUUUGAUUAUAAUCUUAAUCUGAAUAAAAAUUUGACUAUGUACAAAAAAACUAGAAUUCAAAUAAUUCCUCAAAUCAAGGAAUCUAUCCAUUCUAAAAUUCUGAGUCCAAUUUGAACCGGUCUAAUCAAACUAACUUUCCAACACUCCCCCUCAAGUAAGGGCAUAAAUGUCUAUCAUACCCAACUUAUCCACAUUAUCUUUAAAGUCUUAUCUCAUAAUCCUUUUAGUUAAAACAAUUGCAAUUUGGCUUUUGGACGACAAAUAUGCAUAUUUCCCCUUGCUCAAAUUUUUCCCUAAUGAAAUGUCAGUCCACCUCCACAUGUUUUGUUCGAUCAUGGUGGACUAGAUUGUGGAAGAUGCUUAUAGCUGCCUUGUUGCCAGAAUACAUCAUAGUUUGAGGAUGAAUUGUAAUCUUUAGUUCUUCUAAUACUCUCUUGAUCCAUAAGACUUCACAAAUUCCAUGAGCUAUUGAUCUAAACUUAGCUUCAACACUACUUCUUGCCACCAUAUUUUGUUUUUUGCAUCUCCACUUGAUGAGAUUUCCAAACACAAAUGUACAAUAGCCAGAUGUUGACCUCUUAUCUUCUAUAGACCCUGCCCUAUCUACAUCCAUGAAGACUUCUUUCUUUAAUUGAUCAUGCUUUCCAAAGUGAAGUUCUUUUCCUAAGGUUCCUUUGAGAUAAUGUAGUAUUUUUAUAGACAACAUUCAUGUGUGUUUCAUAUGUAGAAUACAUGUACUAACUAAUUAUACUUACUUCAAAACCAAUAUUUGACUAAGUGUGAGGAAGGCAGAUGAGUUUACCAACUAGUCGUUGGUAUCUUCCUUUGUCAAUUGGAUCCUCUUUUUUUAACUGAAUCUAUCUUGUGUCUUGAAUCAAUCGGAAUGUCAUCAGGCUUGCAACCAAGCUUCCCUGUUUCAUUGAGUAACUCUAAAGUGUACUUUAUUAAUAAAUAGAGAUUCAAUUUUUAUUUAUGACAAUCUCCAUCCCUAGAAAAUACUUUAGUGUGCCAAGGUCUUUCACCUCAAUUCCUUAACUAGGAUCUUCUCAAAGCGUCAAUUUCUACAUGAUCAUUACUUGUUAAAAUCUUAUCAUCAACAUAAACUAUGAUAAAAAUUACUUUACCCUCAUUAGUAGAUUAGUAAAACAUGGUAUGAUAUGAAUGUCCAUGAAGAUAGCCAUAAUGUUUUACUACUCUAGAGAGUCUUUCAAACCAUAAACUUUAUUGGAACUUCUUUUUUCAAGUCCUGGUGGUACAUCCAUGUAAAACACCUCUUCUAAUUCCCAAUUAAAAAAAGAAUUUUUUAUGUCCAAGUGUUGAAUGGGCCAAUCAUAGUUUGUAGCUAGAGAGAAGAAUUCAGAUUAUGUUUGGUUUUUCCACCGGUGCAAAAGUCUCUUGGUAAUCUAUCUCGUAAGUCUGAGUAAAUCCUUUAGUAAACAAUCUUGCCUUAUAUCGUUCCAGCAGGCUAUUAGAUUUUUAUUUUAUUGAAAAUACCUAUUUACAUGCCACAAUUCUUUUAGCUUUUAGUUGGGUAACAAGUUCCCAUGUUCCAUUUUUUUUUUCAAAGCUUUGACUUCCUCCACAACUAGUGUUAUCCAUUUUGGAUCACCAAAUGCCUAUGCAUUUUUUGGAACUUCUAUGGAAGAAAUGUGAGAGACAAAAACAGAAAAAAUAUGAGGAUAAUCUAUGAUAAGAGACAAAAUUAGAUAUGAGAUGAAUGGUACAACAUCUAACACCUUUCCUAAGUGCUAUCUAGAUAUCUAAGCCACUAAGCACUAGGUCUACAAAAAGUGAAGAAUGUGAGGAGGAUGACGAAUUGUCCAAACCUGAUUCAAGAAUUAUCUCUCGUGUGGUUUCACGGCAAGGCGUGAGUAUAUUAGGUGCUAUACACUUCCUUGAGUAGACUUUGAACUAUGGUGUAGACUGGGUUGUUGGUGGCAAUGCUUUAUCUCCCCCUACAUUUGGCAAUUUGUCAUGUAUUGGAAAUAUUGUUGGGUUGAACUAAAUGGAAAAAAUGGAUGGAGAGAUUUAAGUGGACAUCUGAAUAGUUGAUAGGAGUCUGGAUUGGUUGCUAGUAGUGUAAGAACUAGAAAAGAAGAUUGUGGAAUUUCCCAUGACGAAGCUUCACUAGAAUUUUCCCUCUAAAGCGAAGUGUAAUAGGGUUGUUGUUCAAAGAAGGUUACAUCUUUAGAGAUGUACAUUUUUCAAUUAACAUGAUCAAAACAUCUAUAUCUUUUUUUAGUUGUUGCAUAUCCUAAAAAUAAUCAUUUUAUAACCCUAAGAUCAAGUUUACCACGAUUAUGUUAAUGAACAUGUAAAAAAGUAGUACAUUCAAAAAUUUUAAUUGGUAAAUCUUGGAAAAUUUGAGAAUAUGGGAAUGAAGCAAGCAAAACAACACUGCUAGUUUUAAAAUUAAGAACUUUCGAGGACAUCCUAUUGAUCAAAUAUGAUGUUGUAAGAAUGGUGUCCCCCUAGUGUAUUUUUCUAACAUUCAUUAAAAAUAAUAAGGAUCGAGCAACUUCUAAGAGGUGCUUAUUCUUCCUUUCGGAAACUCCAUUUUAUUGUAGAGUAUCUACACAUGAAUUUUGAUGAAUAAUCCCAAUAGUUGAUAAAAAAUCUUCAAGAACAACAUUUAUAUAUUCACUACCAUUGUCGGUUUUAAGAAUUUUAAUGAACGUUUGAAAUUGGUUUUAUAUCACUAAGUAGAAAUUUUUGAAGGUUUGAAAGACUUCGAAUUUUUCUUUAAGACGGUAAACCUAGCAAAUUCUUGAAUAAUCAUCGAUGAAGGUAAGGAACCAUUUUCUACUAGUUAGAUUUGUUGCUCAAGAUGGUCCCUAAAGAUCAUUAUGUAUGAGAAUAAAAGAUUUAAAGGGCCUAUAAGGUUUAGUAGGAAAUACUAAUACUGUAUGCUUUACCAUUUGAUACACUUCACAUUGAAAAUGGGACAACCUUUUAUUUUUAAAGAGUUUGGAAACAAGAACCAAAGAUACAGAAAGCUAGGGUGCCCUAAUCUAUAGUGCCAUGACAUUAUUUCAUGAUAUAAAAGAAAAUGUAAAACAUUUUUACCAACAAUAGCAUCUUAUCCUUUCACAACUUCACGGUCAUCAAAGUGGUAUAAACCUUCACACUCACAUGCAUUGCCAAUCGUCCUCCCCGAAGCUAAGUCCUGAAAAACAAUAACAAUAGAAGAAACUUUAGAUACACAAUUGAGAUCUUUAGUGAGUUUACUAAUGGACAAUAAAUUACAUGAUAAAUUUAGGAUAUGUAAGACUGAUUCAAGAAAAAUAGUUUUUGUUAGGGAGAUGGUUCCUUUUCUAGCAACUGGGGUAUACAACUCAUUCACAAUUUGGAAUUUCAUAUUAUCGACACGUGGUACAUAUGUUGUAAAGGAAGUGAAUGACCUUGUCAUGUGAUCUGUAGCUUUGGAAUCGAUGAUAUAAGGUUUAUAAGAAUUGGCUAACACACUAAAUGGGUAUUGAGUUCUACUUGAUAGUGUUAGAGAGCAAGAUGGCAAGGGAUUGACAUUUGGUGAACCUAAGAUAGAAGUGGAUGCGGUUUGUGGAUUAAUGAGAUGUUGCAAGACCUUUAACUACUCCUUGGUGAAUGGUGAAGUGGUUGUUUGGCUGUGAGGGUUCUCAUAUUCACUAUAGUAGGCUUUAGAAUUGUGGUUGGGUCUUAGGUUUCUCCUAGUAGGCAACUUCUUGUGGAUCUUCCAGGAUGUAUAUCUUAUGUGGCCUUGUUUUUUAUAGUAGUCACACUAAGAACAAUCACCAUUUUUUCCUGGUCAUUGGUCGUUUGGUUGAAAAGUCUCCCCACCAUGAAUAACCAGGGCAAAGUCUCAAAUUGGCUAGAUUGUUGUUUUCCCAACAUUACUUUGUACCUACUCUCUUCCCAUCGUACCUUAAAGAAAGAUCUCCCUUAUAGAUGGAAAUGACUAUUUUCCUAGGCUUCAACCUCAAACCUCAUCAAAUUCCUUGUUGCGUCUUACCAAAAAGUCAAAUGCCCUUUCUUUUAUGAGAAUCUUGCAAUAAUGGGCAUUGUCUUCACAAUAUUUCCAUUCCAUAUUAGAGAAUAAAUCAUGGUCUUGCCAUGCAUUUUAAAGGAUAUUAUAGUAUUGUGUAACAUUAUAACUACUUUAUUUGAUAUCUUCAACUUAGUUUAAAUUUCAAACAUUUGAGUAGCAUUACCUAAAUCUAAAUAAUUCUCUUGGACUGCAUCCUAAAGGUCCUUGGCGGGUAGAAAGAAAGAGGUAAGUAUGCCCAAUAGCUACCUCCAUGGAGUUGAUUAACCAGGCCAUUACCAUGUAGUUCUUAGAAUCCUAGGUUUGGUACGCAUGAUCUUCCAACUUAGGUGCUUUGUUGGCACUUGUGAGAUAGCCUAACUUUCCUUUUCCUCAUAUGAACAGUUUCACCAAUUGCGAUCAUUGGAGAAAAUUACAUUCAUUUAAUUUAUGUAUCGUAAUUUACAGGGUUGGAUUUUCUAUACCGCUUGGAUUUGUUGUUGGAAUUUGUAUUGUGAAGUCCCAGGUGAGGCAUUAGAUUCCUCCCUGUGAGUUGCACUAGUCAUAGCAGUCUUCACUAUCCUUCUACUUUUUUUUUUUCUUCUCUGGCUCUAAUACCAUGAAACCAUGAUAGGGUUUUUUUUUUUUUGGAUAAAGUUAUAUUUAUUGCUCUAAUCUUCAAAACAUGGGCUACAUCCUUUUAGAUAACAAGAAAAUAGAUAAUUCCUAUGCUAAAAAAAAAGAGAUGGAAAAAAAAAUCUGAUUCAAAUAAUUCCUCAAAUCAAGGAACCUAUCCAUUAUAAAAUUUUGAGUCCAAUUUGAACUAGUCUAACCAAACUAACUUUCCAACAUCCAACUAAGUUGAAAUUAUCUUUAAAACCCUUGAAAAUUAAAACCCAAAUAAAUAGACUCAAAACCUUAGGUUUUUAGGCCCACAAACCCCCUAAAACCAGCCUAAGAGCUAAAAAAAGGGUAAAAAAGUUUGACAAAGAAAUAAGAAUAAAAAAGGAUCAAAAUAAGGAACUUUUUAGCAAUUGGUUGAGCUGGUACCUCAAUCUACUAAAUUAGUUCCCUAGACUGGUUGAACUUACUAAACCAGUUUCCUAAACUAUUUGAAUCGAUGAAACUAAUUAAGGCAAAAAAGGGCUCGAUUCUUACUGAUGAAGCUCUAUUUGAACUCCAAACAUACUGAAACUUUAGAGACUCCUAGGGUGACACUAAAGUCAUAUUGUGGAUCCAAAACUAUAUCUAAAAAGUCUUUCAAAGUGGCUCAAAAGUCAAUGCUAAAGACGAGUAUUGAACAUCCCACCAAGGAGUAUAGGAACAAUCACACAAAGGGGGUCUAGAUGUGCUACACAAGGGCACAAAGUGAAGGACACCAAGUAUGAUCUACAACAUGUGCUAUAAAGACAAUAUGGAGAGUCUAGAUGCACUUUUUGAGAAGACCUGAUUAGCCUUCUUGUAUCCCAAACUCUUGAAAACAUUUUAUCUUCUCAUUUGUUAGGUUAGAAAAGAGAUUCCAUAAGGCACAAAAGUAAAAUACACUAGGAGUACACAUGGUGUUUCACCAUGGAUGUGAAGUUCAAUGGACGUGUUGGGGAGUAAGACUUAGGGAUAGCAUCGAUCAAGUAAAUCUAUCUAUUGUCCUUUCGAAUAGUUGAUUUGUGAUUAGAGGUCUCUAACCACAUGAUGUUUAUAUCUAAAUGGUCUCGAGAAUACUGUGUGGAUUUUCACGUAAAAAAAUAUUUGUCUUUCACAUUGACUUAUUUAUUCUUGCCCUUAUAACAAAUGGGAAAGUUAAAAAAUGAAAAAUAAUUAACUUUUGGAUUAAAAAAAUUAUCUAUGUGCCUUUUGUAAUAAUUUAUUUCUUUUUUCAAAGAAGUUAAAAAAAUAAAAAAUAAUUAAUUUUUGGACUAAAAAUUUUGUGAAGACUAUAUACCCAUGUUAAUGGCCUCAUGUGGCAUAAGAGAAUCACAAGAAUGACGAAUAAAAACAUGUGGUAUAUAUUAUUUGUCAUUGCCAUUAUUCAUUUGUUGGUGGUAAAAAGUAAGAAGUGUAGCUAUCAAAAAGAUUUUUCUUGUACCUUUUUUCUUUGUUAGAGGUGAAAAAACAUGAUUUUAACAUGACGAGCUAGGCUUAUUGAUUUAUGUUUUCGUUUUAUUUUUUUAUUUUUAUUUCUGAUUUUAUUUUCCUAGUUUGUGUUUCACAUGCCACCUUGAGGAGGGAUAUUGGAGAUAUAAAGAUAUUUGACUCUGCCUAAAUUGAAAUAAGGAGAUAUUUGACUUUUCCUAAACAAUAUAGAGGAUGGAGAUCUUUCUUGGUAGAAUCUGAUUUAUUACUUUUUAUUGUAUAUAAGAUUAUUUCUAUUUUUGUAUAUAAGGCUAAGUAUCUUUUAAAAAUAUAUAAAAAAAAGUAUUUUCUCAAUUCUUGUCAAAACUCAAAAAACAUGAUUUUAAGGUCACGGGCUAGGUUUAUUGAUCUAUAUUUUGGUUUUGUUUUAUAUUUUUAUUUCUGAUUUUUUUUUUUUUUCCAGUUUGUGGUUCAAAAUAGCCUUUGUGGCACAAUUGCUAAUAAGCAAUGACGUUAGCAAAGAUGGUGAUACUUUGAAAAAGUUUGGAAUAUUAUGAACUAUUGAGAAGUUGAAAAGCUAAUUACAUUAAUUGAUAGGAACGAUUGAAGAUUUUAAAAUGAUAAAACGUGAGUCUAACACUUGUUCUCAGUGAAAUAUUAUAAAUCACUGAGAAGUUGAAAAGCUAACAUCGAUAGGGACUUUAAAACGAUUGAAGACUUUAAAACGAUCACACUUGUUCUUAUCUUGAGGAAAAAAUAGUGUCUUAUAUACUUUAAUUCCUGGCCAAUGAAUCCGAUAGGAUAAGAAGUGAUAGGGGUAUUAAUCUAAAUUGAUUUUCUCAACUGUGAAGCAAUUCACAGAUCGCUCCUGGAAAUGAAGCUUAGCUCAGUUGCAGUUUCCUUUGCUUUUAUUACUCUCCUCAUAUUUGCAUGGAGGUUAUUGAAUUGGGUGUGGUUGAGACCAAAGAAGCUAGAGAGAUGCCUUAGGAAGCAAGGUCUGACUGGAAAUUCCUACAGGUUGUUGCAUGGGGAUUUUAGAGAGAUGUCGAGGAUGAAUAACGAAGCAAAUUCCGGACCCAUCAGCUUCUCUGAUGAUAUUGUGAAGCGAGUUCUACCAUUUUUUAAUCAUUCCAUCCAGAAAUAUGGUAUGAAAAUUAACUUCUCUUUAUCAUUGCACUAAAAUAUUUGUGGAAUUUUCCCCAAUGGAUGUUGGUUUUCUGGUCUUUUUUUUUUAUUAGUUGUUUUUCCUGUCCUUUCUUUUUCUUCUCUAAGAAGUUAUAGCCAAAUGGAAUUUCAAUGGUACUUCAAAUUUCCUUUUUCUACUUAGGAGUGUAACUUUUAAGGUUUAUUUGAUUAAAAAUAAUCAAGUAAUCCCAAAUUUAUAAAAAAAGUCCUCAUUUAAAAAAGACUCAUUUUAUAUAUAUAUAUAUAUAAAAUACUUACUAUUUUUCUUUUCAGUCUAAAAAAUGACUCAUUUUUUUAUAAAAAUAUACUCGGGAAAAACCUGUUUUUAUACACUCCUAAAAAAUUAUAAAAUACAAAUUUCAAACAGUUAUUUAAAAAUAAUUAACAUUUCAUGUACUUUUUUUUAUAUAUCAAAUUUACUACCUUUUAACGAUAUAAGUAUUAUCUUUUAUCAUUUUAGGUACUAUCUUUGACUAAUAUAAAAAAAAAUUAUUUUAUAAUUAUUUUUAUAUAGUGUGAAAACUCACUUUUUUAAAUAUACUUGUUGUUUUUCUUAUAAAAAUAACAUUCUUUUUUUUUUCUUUUAAAUUUACCAAAAAAAAUUAUAAAAAUAUUAAGAGAUGUUUAUAUAAAAAAAUAACUAAUUUUUUAGUUGAAAUAUGAAAGGGGCUAGAUUUACAAAUUUAGGAUUAUUUUAUUCUUUUUAAUUGUGCCAUUCAAUUUUUUUAUAAGCUAUAUGUAGGUAUAUAUUGGAUUAUUUACUUUGUAAGUUGUUUAAUCGUUGGGAAUUGUGAAUAGCUUUUAAAUUUUUAUGCUAAUUGUUUCUCAUCUUUUCAAAUUUUGCAUGAACUUUUGACUUUUGAUAAUUAAUCAAAUCAUUAUAAUUUUCUUUAGAUAUUUGAGCUUCUUCAAUUAGAUAGCCUUGCAUUUGCCUGCUUGACUACCCAGGUCCUUUAGAUCCUUUCUAACCAUUAUCCAACAAUGGGCAUUAAAAAUGCAGGUAAAAAUAGUUUUACAUGGUUGGGCCCAAAACCAGUAGUAAAUAUUAUGGAGCCUGAGCUGAUAAGGGAUGUUCUCUUAAAGCACAAUGUCUUUCAAAAACCACCGCCGCACCCUCUCGGCAAGCUGCUGGCUACUGGUGUUGUUGCAUUGGAAGGUGAACAAUGGACUAAACGUAGAAAGAUCAUAAACCCAGCUUUCCAUCUAGAGAAGUUGAAGGUAAUUUUAUCAUGCUUAUUUUCCCAUUCUUUCUUUAUGUUUAAUUUUAGAAAUUGUGAGAGCAGAAUAAAUACAUUAAAGGAUGGAUAUGGUUAACUUUUUGAGGCAAUAUUUAUUUGGUUAUGCAGCCAGACCCCAACUUGUUGCCUGGUUUCUCUGCAUAGCCCUCUUCUUAUAGGAAAGAAAAUAAAUUUCCGAAUGUUCCAUAAUUUAGUAGACAUAUUCACAAUUUUACUGCCUCUUGUAAUCUUUUUUCUUAUGCAUGAUAAAUUUUUUCUAAAUUUAUUAAUUGUGUUUGAAUUUGUAUAGCACAUGGUAUCGGCAUUCCAAUUGAGUUGUAGUGAUAUGGUCAAUAAAUGGGAGAAGAAGCUCUCCAUGGACGACUCAUGUGAAUUGGACAUUUGGCCCUAUCUUCAAAUUUUGACGGGAGAUGUUAUUUCAAGAACAGCAUUUGGUAGUAGCUACGAGGAAGGAAGAAGGAUAUUCCAACUCCAGAAAGAGCAAGCACAUCUUGUAGCCCAGGUUACUCAGUCAGUUUAUGUUCCAGGAUGGAGGUAGGCAAAAAAUAUUUCAAGGAAUUAAUCUGAACCUCAGUACUAAUACCCAUAUGCUAUAUCUUUCACAGUAUCACCAACAACAACAACAACAACAAUAAUAAUAAUAAUAAUAAAAAUAAAAAUGAAGAAGAAGAACAAGGGUUUGAUCCAGCAUGGGACAAAAGCAAGAAUAAAAUUAACAACUGUUAUAACAUUUAAGAACUAUAAAAUGUUUCAUUUAUUUUGUUAAUAUGGCUCUCAACUAAUAUUUGUUUAUCUUCUAAAAUGGAAGUUUUCCAAUUUUUGGCUUUCUAUUUUAAGAAAUUUCAUUUUGUUCAAAUUAAAGAAUGUAGCUGUCUUGAAAACAAAAAUCAACUUCAAGUAUCCCCUUUUCUUUUAUUGGCAGAACAUCUUAGCAAGAUGAAUGGUGAAAUACUACUAUAAAAUAUAUGUAGACCAAAUGGACAAUUAAUGUCUGGAUAGUCUCAUCUUUGGAACACCAUGGAUAUUCCGAGAAAUUGAUCAAGUACAAAGUCAUGGAUGAAAUUGCAUUAGUUGCUUCCUGUAUUUUAUUGAUCUUCAUUUACUUGGAUUACUUCCAAGCAGGUUUUUCCCAACAAAGAUAAACAGGAGAAUGAGGCAAAUUAGAAAUGAAGUCAAUGCAUUGUUGAAGGGUAUCAUUGAGAAAAGAGAGAAGGCAAUGAAAGUUGGCGAAACUGCUAAUCAUGAUUUAUUAGGUCUGCUAAUGGAAUCCAACUACAGAGAAAUGCAAGAAAAUGAUGAGAGGAAGAAUGUUGGAAUGAGCAUCAAAGAUGUCAUUGAGGAGUGUAAGCUAUUCUACUUUGCCGGCCAAGAGACUACCUCAGUUUUACUUCUGUGGACAAUGGUUCUAUUAAGCAAGCAUUCAAACUGGCAAGCUCGUGCAAGGGAAGAGGUUUUACAAGUUUUUGGUAAUAAAAAACCAGAUGGCGAUGGCUUAAAUCACCUCAAAAUUGUGAGUACCAAUCCAAUAUAUAUUCAAUAUAGUAACUAUCUCUUCUUGAAAAUAAUAUAUUACUCUUUUUCUUUUUUUCAAUCUUAAGACAAAAUAUGUUUUGUUUCUGUAUCCUUUUUUCUUUAAUUGAAAGCUAUAUGCAGAUACUUGGUAGCCCCAAUGGAAUUUUUCUUUCCUCAUCUACAUGCACAACGCAUCAGCAGUGGCCACUUGACUUUAAUGAAGAAGGGGGGACAGACUAUUCUUUUCUUUGUGUGAAUUUUUUAUUUGCUUGUUAGGUUGUUAUAAGUGUGGUGAAAACUUUAUGCAAAUACUUAGUAUCAAUCAUUUACAAGACCGAAGAUAAUCUUGAUAUUAAACUCAAGGCUACAAUAUAUAUUCAAGGGGUUCUUAGUUUGUAUUGACCAGUUACUGUAUGGUCCUAUGUACAUGAAAGUAUCUGUCAUGAAAAAAGUCAAACAAUCUCUUUCAU
Molecule: long non-coding RNA, 53594 nt
Filed under: Vitis vinifera (wine grape)
Lineage: Eukaryota; Viridiplantae; Streptophyta; Magnoliopsida; Vitales; Vitaceae
Description: long non-coding RNA (VVIN_LNC006594)
Source: RNAcentral